This 54627-nucleotide long non-coding RNA is filed under the name Triticum aestivum (bread wheat). RNAcentral's name for it is "long non-coding RNA (TAES_LNC019837)". The record is from RNAcentral. Lineage: Eukaryota; Viridiplantae; Streptophyta; Magnoliopsida; Poales; Poaceae.
UCUGCUGUUAAUUCAUUCGUGCUAUAUGUUUUUGUUAUCUGUCUUGUAUUCUUAUGCUUUCAUGAAAUAAGUUGACAUGCUAGUUUACUGUUGUUACUAAUAAUAUCAUGCCUCUGUCUAGUUUAGUUUCAUGUUAGUAGUAUCAAUGUUAUGAUAAUUCUGUUGCACUAAUAAGUUUGCUAGUACUUGAGAUUGCCAUGUUUCGCAUGCUAUCAUUGUUCUUUUGAAAUGCUUGAUGUUCUGUUAAUGCAUCGGUAUGUUGCAUGUCAGUUGUUGCAUUCAUGUUAAUAAUGCUCGCAUGAUGAUUGAUGAUGGAGAAGUUAAUAAUAUGACUUAAUAACAAACCUCCUUCGUCAUCACUUGGAUAUCAUAGUGCCACCAAAUCGAGCUUUCUCUAGGGCAACCACAUUUACCUCAUGGGGAGGUCCUAGCUGGGUCUAUUGUCAUGCCUAUCGCCGGUGCCUCCCGCAAGGGAAGGUUAUGGGCACGCGCUACCCUGAUCAGGUAGGCGGACAUAACCUUGUGUGCUCGCUUUUGUUUUUAUGGUACCUUGUCCCCGUUUGGGACCGUUUUGCCACGACGGUGGCCGUUGGUGUCUUUGGUAGACACGGGGCCACCCAGGACUGAACCCCAAGGGGGUGUUGGUCGGAGUGGCCGGGAGAGUGUCAUGGCAGUAGCUCAGUUUUGUCAGAACGCCAUGGUCCGCACGUAUGGGAGUGCGAGGCAAGGGUUCUAUGGUGUGGGUAAACUGCGCUACCUCUACAGAGUGUAUUCAAUCUAUCGAUAGCCGCGUCCUCGGUCAUGGGAAAAAGUACGUCGUAGGUCACACUAUCGGAUCUUGGUCGAAAUGGAGGAUAAACCUGCUAAUAACUUGUGUGUUAAUUAAAAUGUGAUAAAUCGUGUGAUGACUUGGACUGUGGGAAAAUCGUGAGAAGCCGCGAUGAUGUGUGGAUAUGACCCCGAGACAAGGUCUUGGAAAGUCACGCGUGUGCUCUGAGGAGCCGUGGCAGAGUAAGUGAUUGUUGCAUAAGGUUAAUACAUCAUGUCUUCACGGAAGGUAAUUGGUAGUUUAUUUCCAGCAUAGUUUCGUGAUGCCAUGCUAUGUUUUGAUAUGUUAUGCUUGUUGUUGUUAUGUUAGAAGUAAAUUUGAUAUGCCAUGCUAGUAGAUGGUGUGCUGUUGUUCAUGCUUAGUUUGAUUUAUGAUUCGAGUUAAUAUCAUGGCAUGCGUAGAAGUUGUGUUGAAGUAGACUAUUGCAUAUGCUUGGUUCUUGCUUCGUCAUCUGUUUGUUUGGAUGCUAUGUAUUUGGUUGUCUUGCAAGUACAUUCAAUGUACUGACCCGGCUUCUCAUCCCAGUUUUGUAGGUCGUGCCCAAAUUGUUCGCUUGUUUCAUCGUGCUAGGCCGUAAUCUUGCCAGUCUUGUGAGUUGUGGAGCCAAUCCUAAGUGAGAUGCUGCCAAACCAAGACUUCUAUUGCUAGUUAAAUAGACUUCCGCUGCCAUUUAAAUAGCCUUAGGUCUAUGCUAGAUAAUUGUAUUCAUCAAUGAUGUAAUCUUAUAUACAUGUAUUUGAUGAAUAUUAUUGUACUUGGAAUGAUGUAUCAUGGACCUGUCGUGCAUCAGGUGUUAUCCUAGGCUGACGUGCGAAGGCCCCCUGCUCCAUGCGGAUCGGGGUGCUGAUAACCCACAAGUAUAGGGGAUCGCAACAGUUUUCGAGGGUGAAGUAUUCAACCCAAAUUUAUUGAUUCGACACAUGGGGAGCAAAAGAAUACUCUCUAGUAUUAGCAGUUGAGUUGUCAAUUCAACCACACCUGGAAACUUAAUAUCUGCAACAAAGUAUUUAGUAGCAAAGUAAUAUGAUAGUAGUGAUAACGGUAACAAAAGGUGACGGUAGUAAAAGCAAUGUUUUUGGUAUUUUGUAGUGAUGAUAGCACUAGCAAAGGGAAAGUAAAUAAGCAAAGAACAACAUGUGGAAAGCUCGUAGGCAAUGGAUCGGUGAUGGAGAAUUAUGCCGGAUGCGGUUCAUCAUGUAACAGUCAUAACCUAGGGUGACACAGAACUAGCUCCAGUUCAUUGAUAUAAUGUAGGUAUGUAUUUCGAAUAUAGUCAUACGUGCUUAUGGAAAAGGACUUGCAUGACAUCUUUUGUCCUACCCUCCCGUGGCAGCGGGGUCUUUACGGAAACUAAGGGAUAUUAAGGCCUCCUUUUAAUAGAGAACCGGAACAAAGCAUUAACACAUAGUGAAUACAUGAACUCCUCAAACUACGGUCAUCAUCGGUAAGUAUCCCGAUUAUUGUCACUUCCGGGUUAACGGAUCAUAACACAUAAUAGGUGACUAUAGACUUGCAAGAUAGGAUCAAGAACACCCAUAUAUUGAUGAAAACAUAAUAGGUUCAGAUCUGAAAUCAUGGCACUCGGGCCCCAGUGACAAGCAUUAAGCAUAGCAAAGUCAUAUCAACAUCAAUCUCAGAACAUAGUGGAUACUAGGGAUCAAACCCUAAUAAAACUAACUCGAUUACAUGAUAGAUCUCAUCCAACCCAUCACCGUCCAGCAAGCCUACGAUGGAAUUACUCACGCACGGCGGUGAGCAUCAUGAAAUUGGUGAUGGAGGAUGGUUGAUGAUGACGAUGGCGACGGAUUCCCCUCUCCGGAGCCCCGAACGGACUCCAGAUCAGCCCUCCCGAGAGGUUUUAGGGCUUGGCGGCGGCUCUGUAUCAUAAAACGUGAUGAUUUCUUCUCCCUGAUUUUUUUCUCCCCGAAACUCAAUAUAUGGAGUUGGAGUCGGAGAGGCAAUAGGGGCCCACAAGGUAGGGGCGCGCCCUAGGGGGGCAGGCGCGCCCUCCACCCUCGUGGGCAGGUGGUGGGCCCCCUGGCCUUCAUCUUUCGUAGGUAUUUUUCUUAUUUUCUGAAAAGUGACUCCGUGAAGUUCCAGGUCAUUCCCAAAAUGUUUGCUCCUGCACAUAAAUAACACCAUGGUAAUUCUGCUGAAAACAACGUCAGUCCGGGUUAGUUCCAUUCAAAUCAUGCAAGUUAGAGUCCAAAACAAGGGCAAAAGUGUUUGGAAAAGUAGAUACGUUGGAGACGUAUCAACUCCCCCAAGCUUAAACCUUUGCUUGUCCUCAAGCAAUUCAGUUGACAAACUGAAAGUGAUAAAGAAAAACUUUUACAAACUCUGUUUGCUCUUGUUGUUGUAAAUAUGUAAAGCUAGCAUUCAAGUUUUCAGCAAAGAUUAUAACUAACCACAUUCACAAUAACGCAUAGGUCUCAAGUUUACUCAUAUCAAUAGCAUAAUCAACUAGCGAGCCAUAAUAAUAGAUCUCGGAUGACAACACUUUCUCAAAACAAUCAUAAUAUGAUAUAACAAGAUGGUAUCUCGCUAGCCCUUUCUGAGACCGCAAAACAUAAAUGCAGAGCACCUUUAAAGACCAAGGACUGACUAAACAUUGUAAUUCAAGGUAAAAGAGAUCUAGUCAAGUCAUACUCAAUGUAAACUAACAGUAAUGAAUGCAAAUGACAGCGGUGCUCUCCAACUGGUGCUUUUUAAUAAGAGGAUGAUGACUCAGCAUAAAAGUAAAUAGAUAGGCCCUUCGCAGAGGGAAGCAGGGAUUUAUAGAGGUGCCAGAGCUUGGUUUUGAAACAGAGGUGAAUAAUAUUUUGAGUGGUAUACUUUCAUUGUCAACAUAACAACCAAGAGAUGGCGAUUUCUUCCAUGCUACACACAUUAUAGGCAGUUCCCAAACAGAAUGGUAAAGUUUAUACUCCCCCUUCCACCAACAAGCAUCAAUCCAUGGCUUGCUCGAAACAACGAGUGCCUCCAACUAACAAGAGUCCCAGGGGGAGUUUUGUUUGCAAUUAUUUUGAUUUAGUUUGCAUAUAGCAUGGGACUGGGCAUCUAGGUGACCAGCCAUUUAUCUCAUGAGUGAGGAGCGGAGUCCACUCCUCUUGAGAAUAACCCACCUAACAUGGAAGAUAUGGACAGCCCUAGUUGAUACAUGAGCUAUUCGAGCAUACAAAAUAGGAUAUUUAUUUGAAGGUUUAGAGUUUGGCACAUACAAAUUUACUUGGAACGGCGGGUAGGUACCGUAUAUAGGUAGAUAUAGUGGACUCAUGUGGAAUAACUUUGGGGUUUAAGGGAUUAGAUGCACAAGCAGUAUUCCCGCUUAGUACAGGUGAAGGCUAGCAAAAGACUGGGAAGCGGCCAGCUAGAGAGCGACAACAGUCAUUAACAUGCAUUAAAAUUAAUCAACACGGAAUGCAAGCAUGAGUAGGAUAUAAUCCACCAUGAACAUAAAUAUCAUGAAGGCUAUGUUGAUUUUGUUUCAACUACAUGCGUGAACAUGUGCCAAGUCAAGUCACUUAAAUCAUUCAGAGGAGGAUACCACCCUAUCAUACCACAUCAUAAACAUUUUAAUAGCAUGUUGGCACGCAAGGUAAACCAUUAUAACUCAUAGCUAAUCAAGCAUGGCACAAGAAACUAUGAUCUCUAGUUGUCAUUGCAAACAUGUUUAUUCAUAAUAGGCUGAAUCAGGAAUGAUGAACUAAUCAUAUUUACAAAAACAAAAGAGGUCGAGUUCAUACCAGCUUUUCUCAUCUCAUUCAGUCCAUCAUAUAUUGUCAUAAUUGCCUUUCACUUGCACGACCGAAUGAUGUGAAUAAUAAUAAUAGUGCGUGUGCAUUGAACUAAGCUGGAAUCUGCAAGCAUCCAAUAAACAGGAGAAGACAAGGCAAUACGGGCUCUUUUGUCAGAUCAACAAUAAUGCAUAUAAGAGCCACUUCAGCAAUUUAAUUAUGGUCUUCUCCUAUCGACCCCCAAAGAAAAGAAAAGAAAUAAAACUAUUUACACGGGAAAGCUCCCAACAAGCAAAAGAAGAACAGGAAAUAUUUUUGGGUUUUCUUUUAAUUUGCUACUACAAGCAUGGAAAUUAAACUAACUAAAAGCUACAACUAAUUUUUUUGUUUUUCUUAAGGUUUAUUAAACACACAAGAAGAAAGCAUAAAAAGGAAAUUAAACUAGCAUGGAUGAUACAAUGAAAAAGUAUGAGCACCGACAUCUAGCAAUGAGUGUAUGAACAUAAAUGUAAUGUCGGUGGGAAAUACGUACUCCCCCAAGCUUAGGCUUUUGGCCUACGUUGGUCUAUGGCUAUGGCUGGCCUGGCGGAUAUCCAUAUUAGUAGUUGGGGUCGUACUGCGAUGCAGUGGCUAUCGCCUGCUGAGGUGCAGCGUGGCGACGAGCGGCCUCCGCUCUCCUCUCGUACUCAUCUGCCUCCUCUCUGGUAAUAGUAUAUCUUCCUCUUGCCUGAUAAUCAAAGAAGGCAGGAGCAGGGAGAGUAAUACGGACAGCACGGCAUCUGUCAAAGAUUAGUCGAUACUGGAGAGGUGAUUCGUUCCUCUCGACAAACUAGUGGUGAACCAUAGCAUGAAAAUCUAGAUAAGCAGGAGGUAAUUCAAUAUCAUCUUCGCGUAUGGCUAUACCAAGAAAAUUAGCUAUGCGGGUUGCAUAAAUUCCGCCAAACAAAUCUCCAUUAAGUCUAUUAAGGUGCAACCUACGUGCAACAAUGGCUCCCAAAUUAUAUGAUUUGUCUCCUAACACAUCACUCCUAAGAAUACUGAGAUCGGGGACACACAUGUGACAUGCCUCAUCUUUACCAUUAAUGCAUCUACCUAUAAAGAGAGCAAAAUAAUGUAUAACUAGAAAGUGAAUGCUCCCUAUGGUAGCUUGUGUAAUAUCUCUAGAUUCUCCCACAGUUAUGCUAGCAAAAAAAUCUCUAAAUUCAUAUUUGCGAGGAUCCCUUAUACUACCCCAUUGUGGAAGUUUGCAAGCAGUGGUAAAAUCCUCUAAGUCCAUAGUGUAAGAUUUAUCAUAAAGAUCAAAUAGGACAGUUGCAGAAUUACGUGAAGUUGAAAAUUCAAACCUCCUCACAAAGGUACUGGUGAGGUUGUGAUACUGGCUGCACUUCUCUUCCACGAAGCUCAUGAGAUCAGCAUUGCACAAAUAUGCGUUGAAUUCUUCCUUAAUUCCCACUUGAUCCAUAAAGUUCUCAGAAGGCCACUCACAAGGACGCACUGGAGCGUCUCUUGGUGACUCUUCAUCAGCAUCACGCAUGGCAAGCCUGGGUCCUUACUUCCUUGAGGAACCACCUUGGAACAUUUUCCUAAGCAUUUUUCUUCCUCUGAAAAAUUCUGAAAUUUUUUAGUAACUUCAAAAUAAAAAGUAAACCAAACUCAAUAAUAUUGAUAGCAACUACUCCCACAAGUGCCUAGGGCCUAUAUCAUGCAUCAAAACUACUUUUAACCAAAUAAAUUUGACAUGCAAGCUCAAGAACAGGGCCACCUAAGCAGCAAAAAAUUGCAAUGAAUAAAGCACUAGAACAAAAACUAAUUGGACCAAUGGAUGAGUCACAUACCAAGGAACAAUCUUUCCAAGCAGUUUUGUGAGAGGUGCUUUGAGCAGGGAGAUCGAAAAUGGCAGCAAAACGAGCUUGGACUCGGGUUUGAGCUGGAUAUUCGUGUUUGGGGGAGGAAGAAGGAGUGUGUGGGUGAAAGGAUAAGUGGAGGAGGCCACCAUGGGCCCACAAGACAGGGGGCGCGCCCAGGGGGUAGGGCGCGCCCAGGGGGUAGGGCGCGCCCUCCACCCUCGUGGGCAGGUGGUUGGCCCACCUGCUGUGUUCUCAGUGCCAAAUACUCUCAAAUAUUCUCGAAAAAAUCAUAUUUAAAUUUCAGGGCAUUUGGAGAACUUUUAUUUCCGAGGUAUUUUUAUAUUGCAUGGAUAAUUAGAUAACAGACAGAAAAAUAUUUAUUUUUAUUUUAUUUAAUAUAAAUAACAGAAAGUAAAAGUGGGGUACAGAAGGUUGUGCCUUCUAGUUUCAUCCUUCUCAUGAUCAUCAAAAGGAAUCCACUAACAAGGUUGAUCAAGUCUUGUUAACGAACUCAUUCCGAAUAACAUGGAACCGGAGAAAUUUUGAAUAACACUAUGUUACCUCAAUGGGGAUAUGCACAUCCCCAAUAAUAAGAAUAUCAUAUUUCUUAUUGACAGUAGGAAGAGGAAAUUCAAAACCUCCAAAUAUAAUCGAUGGAAUUUUUCCAAUAGAGUUAAUACUAUGAACUUGAGGUUGUUUCCUCGGAAAGUGUACCGUAUGCUCAUUACCAUUAACAUGAAAAGUGACAUUGUCUUUAGUGCAAUCAAUAACAGCCCCUGCAGUAUUCAAAAAGGGUCUUCCAGGAAUAAUAAACAUAAUAUCGUCCUCGGGAAUAUCAAGAAUAACAAAGUCCGUUAAAAUAGUAACGUUUACAACUAUAACAGGCACAUCCUCAAAAAUACCGACAGGUAUAGCAGUUGAUUUAUCAGCCAUUUGCAAAGAUAUUUCAGUAGGUGUCAACUUAUUCAAAUCAAGUCUAUGAUAUAAAGAGAGAGGCAUAACACUAACACCGGGUUAUCAAAUUUGGCAUAACACUAGCAACAAAUCCAAAUGAUUCUUUGAUUGUGGGUUAUCAAGAUCAACAGCAGGUUCAAUUUCUAUGUCAUUAUCAUUACUAGGUUGAGCAUCAUCAUGAAUAUUAUUAUUAACAUUAUCACUAGUUUCAGGUUCAUUACCAGAUUGAGUUUUAGCAUCAGAAAUAGAAAUAUCAUUUGGAUUCUCAGGUGUUUCAGUAAUAGGUUCACUAGAAGCAUGCAAAGUCCUAUCAUUUUUCUUUUUCUUCUUUUUAGAAGAACUAGGUACAUCUAUAUUAUUUCUCUGGGAAUCUUGCUCAAUUCUCUUAGGGUGGCCUUCAUGAUACAAAGGUUCCUGAGUCAUUCUACUAGUUCUAGUAGCCACUCUAACAGCAUUAUCAUUAUCUUUACUAUUCAAUUCAUUGAGCAAAUCAUUUUGAGCUUUAAGUACUUGUUUUACUUGAGUGGUAACCAUAGAAGCAUGUUUACUAAUAAGUUUAAGUUCACCUUUAACAUUAGCCAUAUAAUCACCCAAGUGUUCAAGCAUAUUUGAAUUGUAUUUCAAUUGUCUACCAAAAUAAGCAUUAAAGUCUUCUUGCUUAGCCAUAAAUUUAUCAAACUCAUCUAAGCAUGGGCUAGCAAAUUUAGUAAAUGGGAUUUCAGCUUUGUCAUAUCUAUAGAGAGAAUUUACCUUUACUACCUAUGUCGGGUUAUCAAGACCAUGAGUUUCUUCAAUAGGUAAUGGAUUAAGAUUAUAUGUUUCUUCAACAGGCGGUAGAUUAAGACCAUGUAUUUCUUCAAUAGGAAGUAAAUUCUUAAUAUCUUCAGCUUUAAUACCCUUUUCUUUCAUAGAUUUCUUUGCCUCUUUCAUAUCUUCAGGACUGAGAAAUAGAAUACCAUCUUCUUCGGAGUUGGUUUAGGAAUAGGCUCAGGAAUUGGUUCCGGAGGUGUCCAAUUAUUUUCAUUUGUCAACAUAUUAUUCAAUAGAAUAUCAGCUUCAUCCGGUGUUCUUUCCCUGAAAGCAGAACCAGCACAACUAUCCAGGUAAUCUCUGGAGGCAUCGGUUAGUCCAUUAUAAAAGAUAUCAAGUAUUUCAUUUUUCUUAAGAGGCUGAUUAGGCAAAGCAUUAAGUAAUUGGAGAAUCCUCGCCCAAGCUUGUGGGAGACUCUCUUCUUCAAUUUGCACAAAAUUAUAUAUAUCCCUUAAAGUAGCUUGUUUCUUAUGAGUAGGGAAAUAUUUAACAGAGAAGUAAUAAAUCAUAUCCUAGGGACUACGCACACAACCAGGAUCAAGAGAAUUAAACCAUAUAUUAGCAUCACCCUUUAAUGAGAACGGAAAUAUUUUAAGGAUAUAAAAGUAGUGAGUUCUCUCAUCUUUAGUGAACAGGGUAGCUAUAUCAUUCAAUUUAGUAUGAUGUGCCACAACAGUUUCAGAUUCAUAACCAUGAAAAGGAUCAGAUUCAACCAAAGUAAUUAUAUCAGGAUCAACAGAGAAUUCAUAAUCCUUAUCAGUAACAAAGAUAUGGGAAGUAGCAAAAGCAGGGUCAGGUUUCAUUCUAGCAUUUAGAGAUUGCUUACUCCAUUUAGCUAAUAACUUUUUGAGUUCAUUUCUAUUUUACAAGCUAAAAUAGCUAAGGAAGCUUCUUGAUCAAAAACAUAACCCUUAGGAAUAACAAGUGAUUCUUCAUCAUCACUUUCAUCAGUAUCAUCAGAUUCAAUAUUUUCAAUUUCUCUAGCCCUAGCAAGUUGUUCAUCAAGAAAAUCACUAAGUGGCAUAGUAGUAUCAGGCAUAGAGGUAGUUUCAUCAUAAGUAUCAUGCAUAGCAGAAGUGGCAUCAUCAAUAACAUGCGACAUAUCAGAACGAAUAGCAGAAGCAGGUGUAGGUGUUGCAAGCUUACUCAAAACAGAAGGUGAAUCAAGUGCAGAGCUAGAUGGUGAUACGUCUCCAACGUAUCUAUAAUUUUUGAUUGCUCCAUGGUAUAUUAUCUACUGUUUUGGACUAUAUUGGGCUUUAUUUUACACUUUUAUAUUAUUUUUGUGACUAACCUAUUAACCAGAGGCCCAACCUAGAAUUGUUGUUUUUUUGCCUAUUUGAGUGUUUCGGAGAAACAGAAUAUCAAACGGAGUCCAAACGGAAUGAAAACUUUGGAAACGUGAUUUUCUCAUCAGAUAAGAUCCAGGAGACUUGGACCCUCCAUUAAGAAAGCCACGAGGCGGUCACGAGGGUGGAGGGCACGCCCCCCCCCUAGGGCGCGCCCCCUGCCUCAUGGGCCCCUCGAAGCUCCACCGACGUACUUCUUCCUCCUAUAUAUACCAAUGUACCCCCAAACGAUCGGGGACGGAGCCUAAAACCUAAUUCCACCGCCGCAACUUUCUGUAUCCACGAGAUCCCGUGUUGGGGCUAUUCCGGAGCUCCGCCGGAAGGGGCAUCGAUCACGGAGGGAUUCUACGUCAUCAUCCUAGCCCCUCUUAUGAAGUGUGAGUAGUUUACUUCAGACCUACGGGUCCAUAGUUAGUAGCUAGAUGGCUUCUUCUCUCUUUUUGGUCCUCAAUACAAUGUUCUCCCCCUCUCUUGUGGAUAUCAAUUCGAUGUAAUCUUCUUUUUGCGGUGUGUUUGUUGAGACCGAUGAAUUGUGGGUUUAUGAUCAAGUCCAUCUAUGAAUAAUAUUUGAAUCUUCUCUGAAUUCUUUUAUGUAUGUUUGGUUAUCUUUGCAAGUCUCUUCGAAUUAUCAGUUUGGUUUGGCCUACUAGAUUGGUUGUUCUUGCCAUGGGAGAAGUGCUUAGCUUUGGGUUCGAUCUUGCGGUGUCCUUUCCCAGUGACAGAAGGGGCAGCAAGUCACAUAUUGUAUUGUUGCCAUCGAGGAUAACAAGAUGGUGUUUUUAUCAUAUUGCAUGAAACUAUCCCUCUACAUCAUGUCAUCUUGCUUAAGGUGUUACUCUGUUUUUAACUUAAUACUCUAGAUGCAUGCUGGAUAGCGGUCGAUGAGUGGAGUAAUAGUAGUAGAUGCAUGCAUGAGUCGGUCUACUUGUCUCGGACGUGAUGCCUAAAUACAUAAUCAUACCUAGAUAUUCUCCUAACUAAGCUCAAUUCUGUCAAUUGCUCAACAGUAAUCUGUUCACCCACCGUAGAAUACUUAUGCUCUUGAGAGAAGCCACUAGUGAAACCUAUGGCCCCCGGGUCUCUUUCUCAUCAUAUCAAUCUCCAUCACUUUAUUAUUGCUUUGCUAUUAAUUUGCAUUUACUUUUUACUUUGUAUCUCUAUACCAAAAAUACCAAAAAUAUUAUUUAUCAUCUCUAUCAGAUCUCACUUUCGUAAGUGACCGUGAAGGGAUUGACAACCCCUAAGUGCGUUGGUUGCGUUGAGCUAUUGUUUUUGUGUAGGUACGAGGGACUCGCGCGUAGCCUCCUACUGGAUUGAUACCUUGGUUCUCAAAAACUGAGGGAAAUACUUACGCUACUUUGCUGCAUCAUCCUCUCCUCUUCGGGGAAAUCCAAUGCAGUGCUCAAGAGGUAGCAAGAAGAGUUUCUAGCACCGUUGUCGGGGAGUCUGCGCAAAAGUCAACAUACCAAGUACCCAUGACAAUCCCUAUCUGCCGCAUUACAUUAUUUGCCAUUUGCCUCUCGUUUUCCUCUCCCCCACUUCACCCUUGCCGUUUUAUUCGCCCUCUCUCUCUCUAUCCUCCCUCUCUUUCUCUAUUUGCCUCUUUUUGCCCGUUUGCUUUUUGUUUGCUCAUGUGUUGGAUUGCUUGUUUGUCGCGAUGGCUCUUCCUAGAUUCGGUGAUCUUCACCUUAAAAGGUCAGAGGAGAUCGAAAACAACGUCAGGAAAUUUAUGGUUUUGCAAUUUGAGCAUAAUAAUUUCUUUAGAAAUGAGCUUAAGGAACAAAAAGGUUUUAUGAUUUAUAUGAAUAAAGAGCUCAAUGAUAUGUCUAAAGAAUUUGAUGGUAUAAGAUCCCAAAUUGCUCGUCUUGAAAAAUUAAUUGCUGAAAUUUCGGAUAUGCAAGCUACCUUAGUCAAUAAGAUGGCCGCUAAACUGGAUUCCUAUGAAAAUCAAGAUGAAGAUCUAAAAGUUAUUGAUGUGUCCCCUAUUAAAUCUUUGUUUUGCAAUAUUAAUCUUGAUAAUGAUGGGACUGAAUAUGAUCCACCUUUACCUAGAAGGUGUUCUAAAAAUUCAGAGUAUUUAGACCUUGAUGAUGAAAUUGAUAAAAGUGGGAUUAAAAGAAAUAAAACCCUAGAUGAUGCUAAACCCACUAUAUUGGAUUUCAAGGAAUUUAAUUAUGAAAAUUGCUCUUUAAUUGAUUGUAUUUCCUUGUUGCAAUCCGUGCUAAAUUCGCGUCAUGCUUAUAGCCAAAAUAAAGCCUUUACCGAACAUAUCGUUGAUGCCUUGAUGCAAUUUUAUGAAGAAAAACUUGAGUUGAAAGUUUCUAUCCCUAGAAAACUUGAUGACGAGUGGGUACCUACUAUUAAAAUUAAAAUUAAAGAUUAUGAGUUUUAUGCUUUGUGUGAUUUGGGUGCUAGUGUCUCUACUAUUCCCAAAACUUUGUGUGAUUUGCUAGAUUUCUGUGAUUUUGAUGAUUGCUCUCUAAACUUGCAUCUUGCGGAUUCCACUAUUAAGAAACCUAUGGGAAGAAUUAAUGAUGUUCUUAUUGUUGCAAAUAGGAAUUAUGUGCUCAUAGAUUUUAUCGUUCUUGAUAUAGAUUGCAAUCCUUCUUGCCCUAUUAUUCUCGGUAGACCAUUCCUUAGAACGGUUGGUGCAAUUAUUGAUAUGAAGGAAGGGAACAUUAUAAUUCAAUUUCCAUUAAAAAAGGGCAUGGAACACUUCCCUAGAAAGAAAAUAAAAUUACCAUAUGAAUCUAUCAUGAGAGUCACUUAUGGAUUGCCUACCAAAGAUGGCAAUACCUAGAUCUAUUCUUGCUUGUUAUGCCUAGCUAGGGGCGUUAAACGAUAGUGCUUGUUGGGAGGCAACCCAAUUUUAUUUUUAUUCCUUGCAUUUUGCUCCUGUUUAGUAAUAAAUAAUUUAUCUAGCCUCUGUUUUGGUUGUGUUUUUUGUGUUUAAUUAGUGUUUGUGCCAAGUAGAAUCGUUGGGAAGACUUGGGGAAAGUCUUGUUGAACUUGCUGUAAAAAACAGAAACUUUAGGGCUCACGAGAACUGCUGUCAUUUUUAUUUGGAACGCUCUAUUUAGUUAAUUAUUUUUGCGGAUGUUUAAUAGAUAAAUUCCUCACGUACAGAAAUUUAUUUUAGAAUUUUUGGGAUUCCAUAUCUUGCGCUAGCUACAGAUUACUACAGACUAUUCUGUUUUUGACAGAUUCUAUUUUUCGUGUGUUGUUUGCUUAUUUUGAUGAAUCAAUGGCUAGUAAAAUAGUUUAUAAUCCAUAGAGAAGUUGGAAUACAGUAGGUUUUACACCAAUAUAAAUAAAUAAUGAGUUCAUUACAGUACCUUGAAGUGGUCUUUUGUUUUCUUUCGCUAACGGAGCUCACGAGUUUUCUACUUUAAGUUUUGUGUUGUGAAGUUUUCAAGUUUUGGGUAAAGAUUUGAUGGAUCAUGGAACAAGGAGUGGCAAGAGCCUAAGCUUGGGGAUGCCCAUGGCACCCCCAAUAUAAUCUAAGGACACCUAAAAGCCAAAGCUUGGGGAUGCCCCGGAAGGCAUCCCCUCUUUCGUCUACUUCUAUCGGUAACUUUACUUGGAGCUAUAUUUUUAUUCACCACAUGAUAUGUGUUUUGCUUGGAGCGUCUUUUAUGAUUUGAGUCUUUUCUUGUUAGUCUACCACAAUCAUCCUUGCUGUACACACCUUUUGAGAGAGCCAUACAUGAUUUGGAAUUUGAUAGAAUACUCUAUGUGCUUCACUUAUAUCUUUUGAGCUUUAUAGUUUUGCUCUAGUGCUUCACUUAUAUCUUUUAGAGCACGGUGGUGGAUUUGUUUUAUAGAAACUAUUGAUAUCUCAUGCUUCACUUAGAUUAUUUUGAGAGUCUUAAUAGCAUGGUAAUUUUCAUAAAAUCCUAAUAUGCUUGGUAUGCAAGAUUAAUAAUAAAACUUUCUUAUGAGUGUGUUGAAUGCUAAGAAAAGUUUGAUGCUUGAUGAUUGUUUUGAGAUAUGGAGGUAAUAAUAUCAAAGUCAUGCUAGUUGAGUAGUUUUGAAAUUGAGAAAUACUUGUAUUGAAGUUUGCAAGUCCCAUAGCAUGCACGUGUGGUAAACGUUAUGCAACAAAUUUGAAACAUGAGGUGUUAUUUGAUUGUCUUCCUUAUGAGUGGCGGUCGGGGACGAGCGAUGGUCUUUUCCUACCAAUCUAUCCCCUUAGGAGCAUGCGCGUAGUGCCGAGGUUUUUGAUGACUUGUAGAUUUUUGCAAUAAGUAUGUGAGUUCUUUAUGACUAAUGUUGAGUCCAUGGAUUAUAUGCACUAUCACCCUUCCAUCCUUGCUAGCCUCUUCGGUACCGUGCAUUGCCCUUUCUCACAUUGAGAGUUGGCGCAAACUUCGCCGGUGCAUCCAAACCUCGUGAUAUGAUACGCUCUUUCACACAUAAACCUCCUUAUAUCUUCCUCAAAACAGCCACCAUACCUACCUAUUAUGGCAUUUCCAUAGCCACUCCGGGAUAUAUUGCCAUGCAACUUUCUAUCAUUCCGUUCAUCAUGACACAUUCAUCAUUUUCAUAUUGCUUAGCAUGAUCAUGUAGUUGACAUAGUAUUUGUGGCAAAGCCACCGUUCAUAAUUCUUUCAUACAUGUCACUCUUGGUUCAUUGCAUAUCCCGGUACACCGCCGGAGGCAUUCAUAUAGAGUCAUCUUUGUUCUAGUAUCGAGUUGUAAUCAUUGAGUUGUAAAUAAAUAGAAGUGUGAUGAUCAUCAUUAUUAGAGCAUUGUCCCAAGUGAGGAAUAAAAAAAGAGAAGGCCCAAAAAAAGAGAAAGGUCAUAAAUAAAAGGAAAAGGCCCAAAAAUGAGAGAAAAAGAGAGAAAGGACAAUGUUACCAUCCUUUUACCACACUUGUGCUUCAAAGUAGCACCAUGAUCUUCAUAGUAGAGAGUCUCUCAUGUUAUCACUUUCAUAUACUAGUGGGAAUUUUUUCAUUAUAGAACUUGGCUUGUGUAUUCCAACAAUGGGCCUCCUCAAGUGCCCUAGGUCUUCGUGAGCAAGCAAGUUGGAUGCACACCCACUAGUUUCUUUUGUUGAGCUUUCAUACAUUUAUAGCUCUAGUGCAUCCGUUGCAUGGCAAUCUCUAUUCCUUGCAUUAACAUCAAUCGGUGGGCAUCUCCAUAGCCCAUUGAUUAGCCUCGUUGAUGUGAGACUUUCUCCUUUUUUGUCUUCUCCACAUAACCCCCCUCAUUAUAUUCUAUUCCACCCAUAGUGCUAUGUCCAUGGCUCGCGCUCAUAUAUUGCAUGAAAGUUUAUAGGUUUGAGAUUACUAAAGUAUGAAACAAUUGCUUGGCUUGUCAUCAGGGUUGUGCAUGAUGAGAGCAUUCUUGUGUGACGAAAAUGAAACAUGACUAAACUAUAUGAUUUUGUAGGGAUGAACUUUCUUUGGCCAUGUUAUUUUGAGAAGACAUAAUUGCUUAGUUAGUAUGCUUGAAGUAUUAGCAUUUUUAUGUCAAUAUGAACUUUUGUCUUGAAUCUUUCGGAUCUGAAUAUUCAUACCACAAUUAAGAAGAAUUACAUUAAAAUUAUGCCAAGUAGCACUCCGCAUCAAAAAAAUUCUUUUUAUCAUUUACCUACUCGAGGACGAGCGGGAAUUAAGCUUGGGGAUGCUUGAUACGUCUCCAACGUAUCUAUAAUUUUUUAUUGCUCCAUGCUAUAUUAUCUACUAUUUUGGACUAUAUUGGGCUUUAUUUUCCACUUUUAUAUUAUUUUUGGGACUAACCUAUUAACCAGAGGCCCAGCCCAGAAUUGUUGGUUUUUGCCUAUUUCAGUGUUUCGGAGAAACAGAAUAUCAAACAGAGUCCAAACGGAAUGAAACCUUCGGAAACAUGAUUUUCUCACCAGAUAAGAUCCAGGAGACUUGGACCCUCCGUCAAGAAAGCCACGAGGCGGUCACGAGGGUGGAGGGCGCGCCCCUUGCCACAUGGGCGCCUCGAAGCUCCACCGACGUACUUCUUCCUCCUAUAUAUACCUACAUACCCCCAAACGAUCGGGGACGGAGCCAAAAACCUAAUUCCACCGCCGCAACUUUCUGUAUCCACGAGAUCCCAUCUUGGGGCCUAUUCCGGAGCUCCACCGGAAGGGGCAUCGAUCACGGAGGGAUUCUACAUCAUCAUCCAAGCCCCUCCAAUGAAGUGUGAGUAGUUUACUUCAGACCUACGGGUCCAUAGUUGGUAGCUAGAUGGCUUCUUCUCUCUUUUUGGAUCUCAAUACAAUGUUCUCCCCCUCUCUUGUGGAGAUCUAUUCGAUGUAAUCUUCUUUUUGCAGUGUGUUUGUUGAGACCGAUGAAUUGUGGGUUUAUGAUCAAGUCUAUCUAUGAAUAAUGUUUAAAUCUUCUCCGAAUUCUUUUAUGUAUGAUUGGUUAUCUUUGCAAGUCUCUUUGAAUUAUCAGUUUGGUUUGGCCUACUAGAUUGGUUGUUCUUGCCAUGGGAGAAGUGCUUAGCUUUGGGUUCGAUCUUGCGGUGUCCUUUCCCAGUGACAGAAGGGGCAGCAAGUCACAUAUUGUAUUGUUGCCAUCGAGGAUAACAAGAUGGUGUUUUUAUCAUAUUGCAUGAAACUAUCCCUCUACAUCAUGUCAUCUUGCUUAAGGCGUUACUCUGUUUUUAACUUAAUACUCUAGAUGCAUGCUGGAUAGCGGUCGAUGAGUGGAGUAAUAGUAGUAGAUGCAGGCAUGGUCGGUCUACUUGUCUCGGACGUGAUGCCUAAAUACAUAAUUAUACCUAGAUAUUCUCCUAACUAAGCUCAAUUCUGUCAAUUGCUCAACAGUAAUCUGUUCACCCACCGUAGAAUAUUUAUGCUCUUGAGAGAAGCCACUAGUGAAACCUAUGGCCCCGGGUCUCUUUCUCAUCAUAUCAAUCUCCAUCACUUUAUUAUUGCUUUGCUAUUAAUUUGCAUUUACUUUUUACUUUGUAUCUCUAUACCAAAAAUACCAAAAAUAUUAUUUAUCAUCUCUAUCAGAUCUCACUUCCGUAAGUGACCGUGAAGGGAUUGACAACCCCUAAGCGCGUUGGUUGCGUUGAGCUAUUGUUUUUGUGUAGGUACGAGGGACUCGCGCGUAGCCUCCUACUGGAUUGAUACCUUGGUUCUCAAAAAUUGAGGGAAAUACUUACGUUACUUUGCUGCAUCAUCCUAUCCUCUUCGGGGAAAUCCAACGCAAUGCUCAAGAGGUAGCAGAUGGCAGUUCCUUACCUCCCCUCGUAGUUGAGGGAUAAAUCUUGGUUGUUGGAUCUUUCAAGUUCUUCAUAAUGAUAAGCAGAUAUAUAUCCCAAGUGACUCAAAGAAUAGAGCUAUGCUCCCCGACAACGGCGCUUGAAAAUAGUCUUGAUAACCCACAAGUAUAGGGGAUCGCAACAGUUUUCGAGGGUAAAUUAUUCAACCCAAAUUUAUUGAUUUGACACAAGGGGAGAAAAAGAAUACUCUCAUGUAUUAGCAGCUGAGUUGUCAAUUCAACCACACCUGGAAACAUAAUAUCUGCAGCAAAGUAUUUAGUAGCAAAGUAAUAUGAUAGUAGUGAUAACGGUAUCAAAAGGUAACGGUAAUAAAAGCAAUGUUUUUGGUAUUUUGUAGUGAUGAUAGCAAUAGCAAUGGGAAAGUAAAUAAGCGAAGAACAAUAUGUGGAAAGCUCGUAGGCAAUGGAUCGGUGAUGGAGAAUUAUGCUGGAUGCGGUUCAUCAUGUAACAGUCAUAACCUAGGGUGACACAGAACUAGCUCUAGUUCAUUGAUAUAAUGUAGGCAUGUAUUCCGAAUAUAGUCAUACGUGCUUAUGGAAAAGAACUUGCAUGACAUCUUUUGUCCUACCCUCCCGUGGCAGCGGGGUCCGUAUGGAAACUAAGGGAUAUUAAGGCCUCCUUUUAAUAGAGAACCGGAACAAAGCAUUAACACAUACUGAAUACAUGAACUCCUGAAACUACGAUCAUCACCGGUAAGUAUCCCGAUUAUUGUCACUUCCGGGUUAACGGAUCAUAACACAUAAUAGGUGACUAUAGACUUGCAAGAUAGGAUCAAGAACACCCAUAUAUUGAUGAAAACAUAAUAGGUUCAGAUCUGAAAUCAUGGCACUCGGGCCCUAGUGACUAGCAUUAAGCAUUGCAAAGUCAUAUCAGCAUCAAUCUCAGAACAUAGUGGAUACUAGGUAUCAAACCCUAACAAAACUAAAUCGAUCACAUGAUAGAUCUCAUCCAAUACAUCACCGUCAAGCAAGCCUAUGAUGGAAUUACUCACACACGGCGGUGAGCAUCAUGAAAUUGGUGAUGGAGGAUGGUUGAUGAUGAUGAUGGCGACGGAUUCCCCUCUCCGGAGCCCCGAACGGACUCCAGAUCAGCCCUCCCGAGAGGUUUUAGGGCUUGGCGGCGGCUCUGUAUCAUAAAAAGCGAUGAUUUCUUCUCCCUGAUUUUUUUCUCCCUGAAACUCAAUAUAUGGAGUUGGUGUCGGAGAGGCAACAGGGGGCCCACGAGGUAGGGGCGCGCCCCCACCCUCGUGGGCAAGUGGUGGGCCCCCUGGCCUUCGUCUUUUGCAGGUAUUUUUCUUAUUUUUUGAAAAGUGGCUCCGUGAAGUUUCAGGUCAUUCCGAGAACGUUUGCUCCUGCACAUAAAUAACACCAUGGUAAUUUUGCUGAAAACAGCGUCAGUCCGGGUUAGUUCCAUUCAAAUCAUGCAAGUUAGAGUCCAAAACAAGGGCAAAAGUGUUCGGAAAAGUAGAUACGUUGGAGACGUAUCCGGUGCCACAGGGGAUGGUAUCAGAGCAACCAGACUGGCAUAGAUUAUCCUAGCAUCAGAUCACCGCUACCAUCAACCCGUAAUGACCCUAAGGGAUUUGACCCAUCCCUGGCAUUCGGCAUGGCCACUGUUAAUCAACAGGUGGCGUAGUCGGGACCAACACGUCCUCACCCCGCUGUCCCCGCCUAGUUAUCCGUGGAUUGAAUAGCACCCCUAUCUUUUCUGGUCCGCCGCAUCACUUUCCCUUUGCCAUUAAGGGAAAGGGGCCACACCCUACGGACAUGUCCUGCCUAGCUACCUAUAAAAGCCCCUUUUCGCUAGCCACAUCGCUCACCCCUCACUCAGCCAUGUCCCUGCAGAAAAGCUUAGCUAGUAGCUCCCCAGCCAUGGCUAGCACCGUUAAAGCUCCCAAGUUUCACACCCGCACUUUUGCCAUCAACCACCCUGGCUUUCCACCCCUUCUUACCGAGAUGCUCACCAAAGCCUUUGGCUAUAAAGAUAGCCCAGAUUACCUGGUGUUCCAGUCGACACCCAUCCCUCACCUUCAUCGCUUUGAUGCAAGAGUGCACAUCAGCCUAGGUCCCGCAGUAGAUGGCCAGCCGUUGGUUUUUCAGGGUAGAUCCAUGCCUACCACUGAUUUAGCCACUACUAGGAAAAGGGCUAUAGAUGAUAUGGCCACUAAUGGCGCACCAGACACAUGGUGCGCCACUAGUAACAAAUUUUUUUCCAAAAAUACUAAUGGCGCACCGGGGCACAGUGCGCCAUUACUAGUUUAACUAGUAACGGUGCACCUGCCACACAGUGCGCCACUACUACAUUUUUUUUGCAAAACUACUAAUGGCGCACCUCAAGCUGGUGCGCCAUUAGUAACCAGGGUUACUAAUGGCGCAUAUGUGGGUGGUGUGCCAUUAGUAACCUGGGACCAGCUAGAUAUUUUGGACAGCCACACCUACACACUCACUUUCCCCACUUCAUUCUCUCCACCUCCUCCUCCAAGCUUGUGUCGGCUGCCUCCUCCUCCUCACCUCAUUUGCACCAUAGAUUCAUCCAAAUUAAGUGGUUUAAAUUACCUUUUUUGAUAGGUAAGUAAGGGGAAAGCUAUCUUUGUGUUGUAGAUCUACUUUUUUUCUCCCUCCAACAACAUGCAAAUGCACUUUUUAUGGCCUAGCUAGAUCUAUGUAUGUUUAUGGUGUUGCAUAUGUUUGUGGUGUUGCAUAUAUGUUUGUGUUUGCAGGUAUCGGUAUUUGAAAAUGCGAUAGUUGCCAAUAUUUUGCCAGAAUGUUAAUUCAUUUCCGUAUCAGCGAGAAUUUUGGCACUAUGCAUUCUUUUUGGUCCUAUUUUUAGGGAAAGUCAUGCCAAUUUUUUUCUUAGUUCUAAAAUAUGGUUUUGCUCUACCCUGCAGGAGACCAUGGUCCGCACGAUGACCGACGGCAUCAUGAAUAGGUUUUUGAGCUCCUCGAAGGGUGAGAUGCUUCAAAAGAACGAGACGGAGAUAAGAUGUCCGUGUCGAAGAUGCAAGCUGAAGAGCCUUAUUGCGGACCCGGAUUCCGGGCAGGUGUGGGACCACCUGCUCUUGCGUGGUUUCAUGGAUGGCUAUCGGUGGCAAGGUGAUGAAGAUGACUAUGAAGUUGUCCAUGGGGGUCGGGCAAGAAAUGAGGAAGGGCAGCAAGACAGCCACCGCAGCGAGGGCGGGCGAGAAGACGAAGAAUCUCCAGGACAUGAUCACGACGGUGAUGCUGUACACAGUCAUCAUGUAGAAGAUGCCGGACAUGAUGAUGAGGAAGAUCAAGAUGAAGGGCAUGAUCAUGAAGAUGAAGAUGCGGGAGCAGACGACGAUGGAGGCUGGGUGCAGGACCCUCAUAUUCAAGAGCUGCUUCUCAAGCAAACGAACAACGCAAGAGCUGCCGCCCAAGAGAAAGCCAAGCUGGAUCAACUAGAGAUAGACGCGGUUACUCCAUUGUAUGAAGGACGCAGGCCUGAGGAUACCCGCCUAAAAGUAACGCUCAUUGCUCUGGAGAUGAAGGUAAAACACAAAAUGACCGACACAUGCUUCGACGAGAACAUGUCAUUCUGGCACGAACGUCUUCCCAAGGGGAACAAGUGCCCGACCAGUUUCGAGGAGGCGAAGAAAAUCGUGUGUCCUCUAGAUUUACCGCACGUGAAAUACCAUGUGUGCAUGAACAAUUGCAUCAUUUAUCGGGACGAGCACGCGGAGUCUACCAUAUGUCCGGUGUGCGGCGUCACUCGAUACAAGAAGAGGAAGAAAGCUCGUCGAAAAGUUGUGUGGUACUUUCCGAUCACUUCUUGUCUACAGCGGUAUUUCGUGGACCCUAAGCUAGCAAAGCUCCUGUGUUGGCACGCGGAUAGGGAGGAGAAGAAGCGAGAAGAUGACGGAAAUGAUCCAGAGAUAAAUAAAAAAGACAAGAUGCUGAGUCACCCUAAGGAUGCGAACCAGUGGCAAGCAUUGAACUUCAAACACCCAGAAUUUGGGGACGAUCCAAGGAACAUCAUGCUGGGCGCAAGCACCUAUGGAGUCAAUCCGUUUGGCAGCCAGAGAAGCACACAUAGCACCUGGCCUAUGUUUGUGUGGAUGUACAACUUUCCCCCUGGUUGUGCAUGAAGAGGAAGUAGAUUCACAUGAGUAUGCUAAUUGAAGGACCGAAACAACCAGGGAACGACAUCAAUCUGUAUCUGGGCCUGCUGAAAGAGGAGCUAGACACGCUGUGGAAAACACCAGCCAAUACGUGGGACGCCACAGAGAAAGAAUAUUUCACUAUGAGAGCCGCAAUGCUCAUGACGGUGCACGACUAUCUCGGUUACGGAUAUCUCGCGAGGCAGGUGUUCCACGGAUUUUCUGGAUGCGUCAGGUGCAUGGAUGACACAACGUAUCGCCAGCUAGAUAGAGAUCCCGGGUCUUCGAAAACCGUGUUCAUGGGACAUCGAAGGUGGCUUCGCGAUGAUGACCCAUGGAGAAAACGCAAGGAUCUGUUCGAUGGUGAAACCGAACCCCGAAGACGCCCGCGUAUGAGGAGCGGCAAGGAAAUAGACGAGCUGUUGAAAAAUUGGAAAGAUUGCCCACUGCCGGCAAAGAAGGAAAAGGCGCCAGAGCCAGGAAAGAAGCGAAAGGCACCAGAGCCGCUGCUGAAGGUAUGGAAAACGAGGUCUAUUUUCUGGGACUUGCCGUACUGGAAGAUCCACCGUGUGCCUCACAGCCUUGAUGUCAUGCAUAUCACGAAGAACGUGUGCAAGAGUCUGCUUGGUACCCUGCUCAACAUGCCAGAGAGGACAAAAGAUGGGCCGAAAGCAAGGGCAGACUUGAUAUCAAUGGGCAUCAGGGAGGAGCUUCACGCUAAUGAUGACGAUGAUGAGGCGAAGCAGGACACGGAAAGUCGUCGCAAAGGCAAAAAGGCCAAGAAGACCAGAAAUGACUACCCUCCCGCGUGCUUCACUCUAAGUUAGGAGGAGAUCGAGCAGUUUUUCACCUGCCUCAUAGGAGUAAAACUUCCUUAUGAUUACGCGGGGAAGAUAAGCAGAUACCUAGACCCAACGAAGUAGAAGUUCAGCGGGAUGAAGUCUCACGACUUUCACGUGCUGAUGACGCAAAUACUUCAAGUUGCAAUCCGUGGGGUCAUGGACGCGCACGUCCGUGAAACGCUAUUUGGCCUAUGCAACUUUUUUGACGUCAUCUCUUGGAAGUCGGUUGGCGUGAGGCAACUCAGAAGGCUACAGGAAGAGAUCGUGGUGAUACUAUGCGAGCUUGAGAUGUACUUCCCGCCCGCAUUCUUCGAUAUUAUGGUGCAUCUGCUGGUCCAUAUCAUGGAGGAUAUCAUCCAACUCGGGUCGUCGUUCCUGCACAGCAUGAUGCCAUUCGAAAGGAUGAAUGGUGUCAUCAAAGGAUACGUUCGCAACAUGUCACAUCCAGAGGGAAGCAUAGCCAGGGGCUUUCUGACCGAAGAGUGCAUCUCCUACUGCACGAAUUAUCUAGGCAUCGAGAACCCUGUUGGUCUGCCCGUCAACAGGCACCUCGGCAGGCUCGCUGGAUGGGGUCACCGCGAGGGUCGCCGCGAAAUGCAUGUCUACUUCGAGGGUCGACUCGCCGACUUUGAAAGAGGAAACCUAGUCGCGCUACAACACAUAGACGUGGUCGAUCCUUGGGUGGUAGAGCACAAAACCUUUAUUGAGAAGACGUACAAUGACCAAGGCCAACAGAGGACGGACGGAGAUAUAAUCAAAGAGCACAACUCAUGUUUCACGCAUUGGUUCAAGCAGAAGCUUUUGUCGUACCCUUUACAUGAGGAUUCUUCUGCGGAAGAACAAAUCAUAUUCGCCUUGUCACAAGGCGCCGAGCACAACCUGAUGACCUAUGAGGCGUACGAUAUCAACGGCUACACAUUCUACACUGAGGACAAGGACAUGAAGAGCGAUGGUUAUCAGAACUCCAGGGUAACGAUGGAAUCCUACAUCGGUAAUGACAAGGAUAGAUACUACGGAAGGAUCGAGGAGAUCUAGGAGCUGAGCUACGCUGGAGAGAAGGUCCCGAUGUUCCGUGUCAGAUAGGCCAAGAGCGUCCUAAAAGAAGACCGGUAUUUCACCACCAUGGUUAUACCCGAAGCCAAAUCCAAGACCGCGGGCGCAAACGUCACUGCGAAAAAUGAGCCAUGGGUACUGGCUUCCCAAGUGGACCAAUGCUUCUUCAUUACUGACCCGUCAAAGCCUAGUCGUGUUGUCGUGAGGAGAGGCAAAAGGAAGAUCAUCGGAAUGGAUGGAUUCGCCAAUGAGCAAGACUUCGACAAGUACGGCGACCCAAAGAUGGAACAUGACGACGACGAUGAAGUAGCAGCAUACACCACAAGAAGAAGCAUGACCACCCUACCUAAAGGAUGUCCGUUCCAUAGAAGAACUCCAUUUGCGAAAAAGAAGGGCAAGAAGAUUGUGAACAGAUAGCUAGCUAAGAUCGAUUGUAUUUAAAUUGUAGCCUUCAUUUCUCGAUUGUAUUUCAUGGGCACUUUUUGAACUCAUGAAUAUUUUUAAAUUUCAUGGGCACUUUUUGAAUUCAUGAAUAUUUUUUCAAAUUUGAUGAUAUUUUUUCAUAUUCAAUAUGAAAAAAUAUUGAAUAUUCAUGAGGAUACUAGAUCUCGAUCCCCCUCCAUCUCGAUCGCUAUCCCCCCUCGCCAGAUCCCCCUUGCCGCUGAGCACCCCCCGCACCCUCCCCCGCUCCACCGCCGCCGACGACCCCCCGCACCCUCCCCCGCUCCACCGUUACAAAUGAAUGCAACUAAAAAUCCAAAAAAACAAAUUUGAUUAUAUUUUUCAAAUAACAAAUUUGAUGAUAUUUUCAAAUAACAAAUUUGAUGAUAUUUUUUAUAUUCAUAAAUAUUUUCAAAUAACAAAUUUGAUGAUAUUUUUUAAAAAAUUAUUACUGUUUUUAUAAAAAUUUAUUACUGUUUCAUAUUCAUAUUCAUUUUUAAAAAAAUUAUUAGAUGCAACAAAAAAUAAUAAUAAUAUUACUUAUGGCACACCGCUGGCUGGUGCGCCAUUGCUAUCUAAAAAAAGAUUACUCAUGGCGCACCGUCCCGGGGGUGCGCCAUUGCUAUAAAAAAACAUUCUAAUGGCGCACCGCCACGGGGUGCACCAUUAGUAAUCUUCCCCCGUAUAGCUAGUCGCCCGAUCCCUUCGUCCCUCCCUCGCCAGAUCCACUCCCCCCUCGCCACACCCUCACGCCCCUCCUUUCGCCGCUCCGACGACCCCCGCACCCGGCCUCGCCGUCUCAGUCCUCGCCGCCGACGGCCUGCCCCGCUCCUUCCCUCCACUCCUCAAUCGCCCUCUCGGUCCUUGCCGCCGACGGCCUGCCCCGCUCCUACGCCCACCACCACGACACAGCCAGGCUACUCAAGGCCUUCAGCCGCACCAUCGAGCCGCGCAACUUCGGCAUCGGCCUCGUCGCCGGCUUCCUCCUUGUCACUUGCGCAUACUUCUCCACCGCCAAGUUCGACGCCAUCCACAUCGCACCCCUCGGUAAGCCACGCCCCUCUCCUCCUCCUCCCCUCCCUCCGCGCAUCUGCAUUCGCCUCCCGCUUCGUCCCUCCCCUUGUCGGUCGCGGCUCUGACUGACCAAUCUCGAUGUGUGUGUUUGUGUGUGCAGUCAGCCCCUUGGAGACCCGGAUUGCCUCGCCGGUGACCGCCGCCGCCACCACUCCUCUUCUUGUCUUCAGAUUUGGGCAUGCCGGGGCUAGACGCGACAUCAUCCAGGGAGGGGAGCAAGGCCGAGGUGCUGGACAUAGACGGCGAGGACCACACGACCACAUCCCCCCCUCCUCCUCCUCGGCGCAAGGUACUGCAAGCUUAUAUUGCAAGAAAGUUUAAAAUUCAAUCUAAAAUUCAGUUAAAGUGAUCUAAAUAUAAAAACUCUUGGAGUAAAAAUUCAGUCUAAAAGUCAGUUAAAGUUUCAGUUUUAGAGUAAUUUUCAGUUUGUAAAACUGAGAAGUGUAUUUUUCUAUUUUGAAACUUAGUGUAACUAUUUUCAAUUUUGAUGGAAAAUCAGUCUAAAAGUCAGUUUAGAUGGCAUUUAAUCAGAAAAUGUUGCAUCAUCAUGCACACAUGUAUCCCCUACUUCGUGGUCAAUGGCCAGCAGUAUCUCCGUAGAUUGCAUAUACAGAUUUCUUGAACAGUGCUAUUAAUUACAAAUAGAGCAAUGUUGAAAAUGAUACAAAAGGAAUUCGAAAACCAGAAAGAUAGGCAUUCUAUUGUAAGUAAGCUAAGAUAAAAAAAAGUGUUUACUUUAAGUAAUUAUUUACAACAAGCAUUGUGUAGGAAAAUGUCAUGCAGGCUGUAACUUGAACUUGAAGAACUCCUUAGAUAGUUUUUUAGUCUCCUUAUACAAAGUAAGCUGAAGUUUGAAACCUAUUUCUCCUAAGAAGACACUGAAAAAUUGCAAAUAAGUAGACACUGAAAAUUGCAGCCAUGUCAAAGUGUCAUUUCAUUUGGGAGCAGUAACUGUAUGUGCUGUCAUAGGUGCUGUGCUGUCAAAAACUGUAUGUGCAAUCUCUAGAACAAUUAUGCUUAUGUGAAAAUUUUAUGUGAAAUCUCCAAAUGUAUCAUCAUAAUGUAGGUGUUGUGUUGUGUGAUUCUUCAUGCUGAGAACUUCAGCUUUUUCAACUUGCUAGACUAUAUGUUCAUUGGCACUACUUGUGAUGCUGCUGCUGUACUACUUGGGAAUUUUUUCAACUUGUGAUGCUGCUGCUCUACCCAAAGAGGCCCUUGAGUUUGCCGGAAUGUCGAUUAACUUCCGUUCCGGCAAAUUCGGGUACUCCAUAUGUCCUAUUUUCUGCAAAGGUCAUGCUGAAAUUUUUCGUGAAUUUUAGCAUGACUUUGCUAAAAAUAGGACAUAUGGGGUACUUGCGACUAAUGCAUGGGUCGGGGUAUCUUAGUGCUUAAUUAAGUAGGAUCAAUUGCCCCUUUAUUCUUGCUGCAUUAAACACAUAUGAUGAAUUCAUGUGUGGACAGAUGAAAAAGCAACUGCCAUAGGUGGCAAUAGAGCCAAGUGAUUAGGCCCAACUUAGAAAUUCUCCUUCCCUUUUCUUGAUAGGGUAUAUUAUUAGAAGAUACCCAUAUAUAUCAGGCAACCUAGGAUGCCUCGGCAUCGAUAAACCCUAAAUGAUGAAAACUUAACUUAACAUUUAGGGUGCCUCAGCGUCGACAAACCCUAAAUGAUAAAACCUUGGCUUUUAGGGUGCCUCGGUGUCGAUAAGAACCUAAAUGAUGAAAGCUUAGGCUUUUAGGGUGCCUUGGCGUCGACAAACCCUAAAUGAUAAAACCUUAGCUUUUAGGAUGCCUCAGUGUCAACAAACCCUAAAUGAUGAGAUCUUGUUCCUUGACAAUAACCAACUUUUUGACCAAACUUUUUUCCUAUUUAGAGCGAAACAUGGCCCACAACGACGAGGUCGGCAGUUCGGGCGGCAAGGCAUUCUAGGAGCUGUCCCAAGAGAUGGAGGAAGAACCUCACCGCUAUGAGGACACCGCGGAAGACACCGAUCCUGACUACACAACCCCUAGUGGCGUCGGGGAUGACACCACUGAUGGUGCCGCCGAGGAUGCCACCACUGAUGAUGUCAGCGCACGCACAGAUGGCAGCCAACUGAAGAGGCAACGGAAGGACCGGCGCCCGAACAUGCUCCGCACCGUCAAGGAGGAAUUUACUGAAGUGAACUCCGACGGGCAUCCAACGGCGCCCAAAGAAAUAGUCAAGGGGUACUCGGUUCAGCUUGGGUUCAUUCUCCAGAGCACCGUCUCGAUCAACACCGAGAUCCUAAGGCAUAAGGACUGAGGGAAUUUGUGCAACCUCCUCUUAACGAAGCUGCACGAACGAUACAAGUUCCCCGCUGAAUUUGAAAACACAUGUCUCUCAGGGAAUAAAGUGAACAGUGCCGCCCUGACGACGAUGAGCACAGCCCUGUCUACUUGGAGAAGCGCGGUGAAGAGAAUGAUUGACAAAGGUGAUAGUUAUGAGAAGAUCAAGGCGAAAAAUCCUUCGAUCAACGAAGAUGACUACAAGGAGUUCAAGAUCAGGUGCGAGAGCAGCGCAACCUCCGAAUCAAGUCAGUGGGGAAAGAAAAGCGGGAGUUGAACUUAGGGGAACACAAACUCGGUCUCGGGGGUUACAGAGUGGCGGAGCCUAUAUGGGACAAGGAGGACGCGGACCGUGCCGAGCAAGACCUACCGCCCCGCUUCGAGAAGUACCGUGACAAGCAGACCAUGAACUAUGUCAGGGCCCGGUACAAGGAGGACCCGGUAACAAAGGAGCUUACCACGGAUCCGAAGACCAGGGCGCUUGAGCUUGUUCUGGUAAGGAAUACACCCCCGCGUAAUUAGCUCCAUAUGGUCGCAUUCUAAUUAAUGAAGCCAAAUUUCUAAAUGGUUCACAUUUCGUCCGUAGGAGACUGAAAGCAGUAGCCCGAGGUCCUCUUAGAGCACCCCUUGGGACAACACUCUAAAUAGGGCGUUGAACGUAAUGAAAAACAAGGAUAAGCUCAGUAAGCCGUCGUCAGCUGGUCGUGUGGCCGGCAAAGGCUUGUCCACAAAAUGGUCGUCAUACUAUAACGCUGGUGGGCGAAAGGAGAGAAAGACCAACUCGGAAAGCCAGUCGCGCGAGGUUCAAGAACUCAAGGCACAAGUGGCGCGGAUUACGGAGAUUGUCCAAGAGCAAGUGCAACAACAACUGGGAUCGACGCUCACCGCCAUUGUGCCUACCUUGAUUCAGGGGCUGACGACAUGGAUUGCGGGCGGCCAACAGGGGCCGCCCCCGGUUCCCAGCUUCACGGCCAGCAACUCGCACAACACGCAGGCGGCGCCAUUGGUGUCUCCAGCGGAGGCAGUAUUGGUAUCUCCGACGCCGACACGGGUAUUGGAGCUUAAUGCACCCGGGUGUACGCCGGCCGGCACCUUGGCAUCAAGCAACCCCUCCAUCAGUUGCACGCCCGCCGUUGCCGGUGCCUCGACAUUAGCCGAGCUCGACGCCAUCACGGUAACUAAUUAAGCCUCUCGGCUGAUGACUUCAUCUCCUUGCCUUUGACUGGGCAUCCCUAACGUCCUACAUGUUUUCACAGGGCGCCGCCGACGUUCCAUGCACUCUCCUGCACUUCGUGGGCGGCGAGCUGAUCGACGUCGCCAAGGGCAGAAUCAUUCAACCGGGCAACCCCGUGUUCCACGGUAAUCCGAUGCCACCCACUAUGUAUAGGGUUGAACUGUUUCGGGUGCUGCCAGGCUUCAACGAGUUGUUACCUCCGAUUCGACACGCUGGGGCCGACGAAGAUGAUGUGAUGACCCUCAGCGCCUGCGUAAGUUGGCCCCUGCUUUGGCCGAAGAGCCAGAUUUGUUUGGGGGCGAGGGACACCACCCCACAGACAACACCGCCAGUCGUCCCGGCGCCAAGCCAUGGCAAUGCCGCCGCAACACUACCGGAUAUGCCGGACAUCCCUAUGGCACAUGAUCCGAACAUGCAUAUUGUUGGGGAAUGUAGUAAUUUCAAAAUUUUCCUACGCACAUGCAAGAUCAUGGUGAUGCAUAGCAACGAGAGGGGAGAUUGUUGUCCACGUACCCUCAUAGACCAAAAGCGGAAGCGUUAGCACAAUGCGGUUGAUGUAGUCGUACGUCUUCACGAUCCAACCGAUCCAAGUACCGAACGCACGUCACCUCCGAGUUCAGCACACGUUCAGCUCGAUGACGUCCCGCGAACUCCGAUCCAGCAGAGCUUCAUGGGAGAGUUCCGUUAGCAUGAUGGCAUGAUGACGGUGAUGAUGUUGCUACUGACGCAGGGCUUCACCUAAGCACCGCUACGAUAUGACCGAGGUGGAAUAUGGUGGAGGGGGGCACCGCACACGGCUAAGAGACAAUCAACUUGAUCAACUUGUGUGUCUAGAGGUGCCCCCUGCCCCCGUAUAUAAAGGAGCAAGGGGGAGGCCGGCCGACCCUCUAUGGGCGCGCCAGGAGGAGGAGUCCUCCUCCUAGUAGGAGUAGGACUCCCCUUUCCUACUCCUACUAGGAGGAGGAAAGGAAGGAGGAGAAGGAGAAGGAAGGAGAGGGAGGAAAAAGGAGGAAAGGGGGGCCGGCCCCCUAGUCCAAUUCAGUUUGGGCUAGGGGGGUCGCGCGCCCUGCCUCCUCUCUUCCACCACUUGGACCAUGAGGCCCAUUACUUCUUCCUCGUAUUCCCGUAACUCCCCGGUACCCCCGAAAGUACCCGAAUCACUCGGAACCUUUCCAAUGUACGAAUAUAGUCGUCCAAUAUAUCGAUCUUUAUGUCUCGACCAUUUUGAGAUUCCUCGUCAUGUCCCCAAUCUCAUCCGGGACUCCAAACUCCUUCGGUACAUCAAAUCACAUAAACUCAUAUUACAAUCGUCACCAAAACUUUAAGCGUGCGGACCCUCCGGGUUCGAGAACUAUGUAGACAUGACUGAGACACGUCUCUGGCCAAUAACCAAUAGCAGAACCUGGAUGCUCAUAUUGGCACCCACAUAUUCUAUGAAGAUCUUUAUCGUUCAAACCGCAUAAGAACAUACGUUGUUCCUUUUGUCAUCGGUAUGUUACUUGCCCGAGAUUCGAUCGUCGGUAUCUCAAUACCUAGUUCAAUCUCGUUACCGGCAAGUCUCUUUACUCGUUCCGUAAUACAUCAUCCCACAACUAACUCAUUAGUUGCAAUGCUUGCAAGGCUUUAAGUGAUGUGCAUUACCGAGAGGGCCCAGAGAUACCUCUCCGACAAUCGGAGUGACAAAUCCUAAUCUCGAAAUACGCCAACCCAACAAGUACCUUUGGAGACACCUGUAGAGCACCUUUAUAAUCACCCAGUUACGUUGUGACGUUUGGUAGCACACAAAUUGUUCCUCCGGUAAAUGGGAGUUGCAUAAUCUCAUAGUCAUAGGAACAUGUAUAAGUCAUUAAGAAAGCAAUAGCAACAAACUAAACGAUCAAGUGCUAUGCUAACGGAAUGGGUUAAGUCAAUCACAUCAUUCUCCUAAUGAUGUGAUCCCGUUAAUCAAAUGACAACUCAUGUCUAUGGUUAGGAAACAUAACCAUCUUUGAUCAACGAGCUAGUCAACUAGAGGCAUACUAGUGACACUCUGUUUGUCUAUGUAUUCACACAUGUAUUAUGUUUCCGGUUAAUACAAUUCUAGCAUGAAUAAUAAACAUUUAUCAUGAUAUAAGGAAAUAAAUAAUAACUUUAUUAUUGCCUCUAGGGAAUAUUUCCUUCAGUCUCCCACUUGCACUAGAGUCAAUAAUCUAGUUCACAUCGCCAUGUGAUUUAAUACCAAUAGUUCACAUCACCAUGUGAUUAACACCCAUAGUUCACAUCGACAUGUGACCAACACCCAAAGGGUUUACUAGAGUCAAUAAUUGAGUUCACAUCACUAUGUGAUUAACACCCAAAGAGUACUGAGGUGUGAUCAUGUUUUGCUUGUGAGAGAAGUUUAGUUAACGGGUCUGCCACAUUCAGAUCCGUAAGUAUUUUGCAAAUUUCUAUGUCAACAAUGCUCUGCACAGAGCUACUCUAGCUAAUUGAUCCCACUUUUAAUAUUUAUCCAGAUUGAGAUUUAGAGUCAUCUGGAUCAGUGUCAAAAUUUGCAUCGACGUAACCCUUUACGACGAACCUUUUGUCACUUCCAUAAUCGAGAAACAUAUCCUUAUUCCACUAAGGAUAAUUUUGACCAAUGUCCAGUGAUCUACUCCUAGAUCACUAUUGUACUCCUUUGCCAAACUCAGGGCAGGGUAUACAAUAGGUCUGGUACACAGCAUGGCAUACUUUAUAGAACCUAUGGCUGAGGCAUAGGGAAUGACUUUCAUUCUAUCUUCUGCCGUGGUCGGGUUUUGAGUCUUACUCAACUUCACACCUUGUAACACAGGCAAGAACUCCUUCUAUGACUGUUCCAUUUUGAACUACUUCAAAAUCUUGUCAAGCUAUGUACUCAUUGAAAAAACUUAUCAAGCGUCUUGAUCUAUCUCUAUAGAUCUUGAUGCUCAAUAUGUAAGCAGCUUCACCGGGGUCUUUCUUUGAAAAACUCCUUUCAAACACUCCUUUAUGCUUUGCAGAAUAGUUCGACAUUAUUUCCGAUCAACAAUAUGUCAUUCACAUAUACUUAUCAGAAAUGUUGUAGUGCUCCCACUCACUUUCUUGUAAAUACAGGCUUCACCGCAAGUCUGUAUAAAACUAUAUGCUUUGAUCAACUUAUCAAAGCGUAUAUUCCAACUCCGAGAUGCUUGCACCAGUCCAUAGAUGGAUCGCUGGAGCUUGCAUAUUUUGUUAGCGCCUUUAGGAUUGACAAAACCUUCUAGUUGCAUCAUAUACAACUCUUCUUUAAUAAAUCCAUUAAGGAAUGCAGUUUUGUUUAUCCAUUUGCCAGAUUUCAUAAAAUGCGGUAAUUGCUAACAUGAUUCGGACAGACUUAAACAUAGAUACGAGUGAGAAACUCUCAUCGUAGUCAAUACCUUGAACUUGUCGAAAACCUUUUUUCGACAAUUCUAGCUUUGUAGAUAGUGACACUACUAUCAGCGUCCGUCUUCCUCUUGAAGAUCCAUUUAAUAUCAAUGGCUCGCCGAUCAAUGGGCAAGUCAAUCAAAGUCCAUACUUUGUUCUCAUACAUGGAUCUCAUCUCAGAUUUCAUGGCCUCAAGCCAUUUCGUGGAAUCUGGGCUCAUCAUUGCUCCCUCAUAGUUCGUAGGCUCAUCAUGGUCAAGUAACAUGACCUCUAGAACAGGUUUACCUUACCACUCUUGUUGGGGAUAUCACUACUGGGCUUAAACCGACCUAUCUAGGCCGGGUUAACUUCAUUAGUAGUUAAUUAUGUUAAAGCCCAAGAAGGCAGAUGAGGGCUCAAGGCCCAUAGUCAGUUCAAGGCCUGUAGCCGUAAACUGGCGUUGGUAUUUAAAUUGUAUUGUAAGUUAGGAAUAAGUAGAGACCAAACCGGACACAUCUAUGAGCCGGUAUUGGGACUCUGUGAACCGACGGGCGUCACCCAUGUAUAUAAGGGGACGACCCGGUGGCGGUUCAAGGACAGACAACAACUCGAGACUUAGGCGAAGCUUGUUUGCUCCCUAGUCAUCGAAACCCCAUCAAUUCCAUCACAACUAGACGUAGGCUUUUACCUUCAUCGAAGGGGCCGAACUAGUAUAAACUCUCUUGCGUCCCUGUGUCCGCUUUAACCCCUUCAAGCUAACCCGUUGCGAUGGCUCCAUGACUAAGUCCUUUCUCUAGGACAUCUGCCGUGACAAAACCAUGACAACUCUGGUGCGGAUAUCACUCUGGUUUACCUACGAGGUUCGGUAGUAACUUGAUCUGAAGUUACAUGAUCAUCAUCAUUAGCUUCCUCACUAAUUGGUGUAGUAGUCACAGUAACAGAUUUCUGUGAUGAACUACUUUCCAAUAAGGGAGCAGGUACAGUUACCUCAUCAAGUUCUACUUUCCUCCCACUCACUUCUUUCGAGAGAAACUCCUUCUCUAGAAAGGAUCCAUUCUCAGCAAUGAAUAUCUUGCCUUCAGAUCUGUGACAGAAGGUGUACCCAACAUUUUCUUUUGGGUAUCCAAUGAAGACGCACUUCUCCAAUUUGGGUUUGAGCUUAUCAGGUUGAAACUUUUUCACAUAAGCAUUGCAACCUCAAACUUUAAGAAACGACAGCUUAGGUUUCUUGCCAAACCAUAGUUCAUACGGUGUCGUCUCAACGGAUUUAGAUGGUGCCCUAUUUAACAUGAAUGUGGUUGUCUCUAAUGCAUAACCCCAAAACGAUAGCGGUAAAUCAGUAAGAGACGUGAUAGAUCGCACCAUAUCUAAUAAAGCACGGUUACGACGUUCGUACACACCAUUACACUGUGCUGUUCUAGGUGGCGUGAGUAGUGAAACUAUUUCACAUUGUUUUAACUAAAGGCCAAACUCGUAACUCAAAUAUUUUACUUCUGCGAUCAUAUCGUAGAAACUUUUAUUUUGUUACGAUGAUUCUCCACUUCACUCUGAAAUUCUUUGAACUUUUCAAAUGUUUCAGACUUGUGUUUCAUAAAGUAGAUAUACUCAUAUCUGCUCAAAUCAUCUGUGAAGAUCAGAAAAUAAUGAUACCUGCCGCGAGCUUCAAUAUUCAUCGGACCACAUACAUCAGUAUGCAUGAUUUCCAACAAGUCUGUUGCUUGAUGCAUUGUUCCGGAGAACGGAGUCUUAGUCAUCUUGCCCAUGAGGCAUGGUUCGCAAGCAUCAACUGAUUCAUAAUCAAGUGAUUCCAAAAGUCCAUCAGCAUGGAGUUUCUUCAUGCGCUUUAUACCAAUAUAACCUAAAUGGCAGUGCCACAAAUAAGUUGCACUAUCAUUAUUAACUUUGCAUCUUUUGGUUUCAAUAUUAUGAAUAUGUGUAUCACUACGAUCGAGAUCCAACGGACCAUUUUCAUUGGGUGUGUAACCAUAUAAGGUUUUAUUCAUGUAAACAUAACAACAAUUUAUUCUCUUACUUAAAUGAAUAACCGUACUGCAAUAAACAUGAUCAAAUCAUAUUCAUGCUCAACGCAAACACCAAAUAAAACUUAUUUAGGUUCAACACUAAUCCCGAAAGUGUAGGGAGUGUGCGAUGAUGAUCAUAUCAAUCUUGGAACCACUUCCAACACACAUCGUCACUUCACCCUUAACUAGUCUAUGUUCAUUCUGCAACUCCCGUUUCGAGUUACUACUCUUAGCAACUAAACCAGUAUCGAAUACCGAGGGGUUGCUACGAACACUAGUAAAAUACACAUCAAUAAUCUAUAUAUCAAAUAUACCUUUGUUCACUUUGCCAUCCUUCUUAUCCGCCAAAUACUUGGGGCAGUUCCGCGUCCAGUGACCAGUCCCUUUGCAGUAGAAGCACUUAGUCUCAGGCUUAGGACCAGACUUGGGAUUCUUCACUUGAGCAGCAACUUGCUUGACGUUCUUCUUGAAGUUCCCCUUCUUCCCUUUUCCCUUUUCUUGAAACUAGUGGUCUUGUGUACCAUCAACACUUGAUAUCUUGAUUUCUACCUUCGUUGAUUUCAGCAUUACGAAGAGCUUGGGAAUCGUUUCCGUUAUCCCUUGCAUAUCAUAGUUCAUCACGAAGUUCUACUAAUUUGGUGAUGGUGACUAGAGAAUUCUGUCAAUCACUAUCUUAUCUGGAAGAUUAACUCCCACUUGAUUCAAGCGAUUGUAGUACCCAGACAAUCUGAGUACAUGCUCACUGCUUGAGCUAUUCUCCUCCAUCUUUUUAGCUAUAGAACUUGUUGGAGACUUCAUAUCUCUCAACUCAGGUAUUUGCUUGAAAUAUGAACUUCAACUCCUGGAACAUCUCAUAUGGUCCAUGACAUUCAAAACGUCUUUCAAGUUCCGAUUCUAAGCCGUUAAGCAUGGUGCACUAAACUAUCAAGUAGUCAUCAUAUUGAGCUAGCCAAAUGUUCAUAACGUCUACAUCUGCUCCUGCAAUAGGUCUGUCACCUAGCGGUGCAUUAAGGACAUAAUUCUUCUGUGUAGGAAUGAGGAUAAUCCUCAGAUCACGGAUCCAAUCUGCAGCAUUGCUACUAACGUCUUUCAACUUAAUUUUCUCUAGGGAAAUAUCAAAAAUAAAACAGGGGAGCUAAACGCGAGCUAUUGAUCUACAACAUAGAUAUGCUAAUACUACCAGGACUAAGUUCAUGAUAAAUUAAAGUUAAAUUAAUCAUAUUCCUUAAGAACUCCCACUUAGAGAGACAUCCCUCUAAUCUUCUAAGUGAUCACGUGAUCCAUGUCAACUAAACCAUGUCCGAUCAUCACGUGAGAUGGAUUAGUUUCAAUGGUGAACAUUGUUGGGGAACACAGUAAUUUCAAAAAAUAUUCCUACGCACACGCAAGAUCAUGGUGAUGCAUAGCAACGAGAGGGGAGAGUGUUGUCUACGUACCCUCGUAGACCGUCAAUGGAAGCAUUGACACAACAUGGAGGAAGUAGUCAUACGUCUUCCCGAUCUGACCGAUCCAAGUACCGAACAUACGGCACCUCCGAGUUCUGCACACGUUCAACUCGGUGAUGUCCCUCGAGCUCCGAUCCAGCAAAGUGUUGAGUGAGAGUUUCGCCAGCACGAUGGCAUGAUGACGGUGAUGAUGUUCUAUCGACGUAGGGCUUCGCCUAAGCACCGCUACAGUAUGACCGAGGUGGAAUAUGGUGGAAGGGGGCACCACACACGGCUAAGGAACGAUCACAAAGAUCAACUUGUCUGUCAUGGGGUGCCCCCUUGCCCCCGUAUAUAAAGGAGGGAGAGGGAUAGGUGCGGCCGGCCUAAGGGGUGCGCCUGGAGGAGUCCUACUCCCACCGGGAAUAGGACUUCCCCCUCUUGCCUUGUUGGAAAAGGAAGGGGGAAGGGAGAAAGAGGAAAGGGGGGUGCCGCCCCCCCCCCUUCCUUGUCCUAUUCGGACUAGGGGGGGCGUGGCCUGCCCUGGCCGGACCUCCUCUUCUCCCUUAGGGCCCAUGUAGGCCCAAUAACCCUCGGGGGGUUCCGGUAACCCCCCGGUACUCCGGUUAAAUCCCGAUUUCACCCGGAACAUUUCCGAUAUCCAAAAAUAGGCUUCCAAUAUAUCAAUCUUUAUGUCUCAACCAUUUCGAGACUCCUCGUCAUGUAUGUGAUCACAUCCGGGACACCAAACAACCUUCGGUACAUCAAAACACAAAAACCCUAAUUAUGAUCGUCACCGAACUUUAAGCGUGCGGACCCUACGGGUUCGAGAACUAUGUAGACAUGACCGAGACACGUCUCCGGUCAAUAACCAAUAGCGGAACCUGGAUGCUCAUAUUGGCUCCUACAUAUUCUACGAAGAUCUUUAUCGGUCAGACCGCAUAACAAUAUACGUUGUUCCUUUUGUCAUCGGUAUGUUACUUGCCCGAGAUUCGAUCGUCGGUAUCUCAAUACCUAGUUCAAUCUCAUUACUGGCAAGUCUCUUUACUCGUUCCGUAAUACAUCAUCCCGCAACUAACUUAUUAGUUGCAAUGCUUGGAAGGCUUGAGUGAUGUGCAUUACCGAGAGGUCCCAGAGAUACCUCUCCGACAAUCGGAGUGACAAAUCCUAAUCUCGAAAUACGCCAACCCAACAAAUACCUUCGGAGACACCUGUAGAGCACCUUUAUAAUCACCCAGUUACGUUGUGAUUAUUGGUAGCACACAAAGUGUUCCUCCGAUAAACGGGAGUUGUAUAAUCUCAUAGUCAUAGGAACAUAUGUAAGUUAUGAAGAAAGCAAUAGCAACAAACUAAACGAUCAAGUGCUAAGCUAAUGGAAUGGGUUAAGACAAUCACAUCAUUCUCCUAAUGAUGUGAUCCCGUUAACCAAAUAACAACUCAUGUCUAUGGUUAGGAAACAUAACCAUAUUUGAUCAACGAGCUAGUCAAGUAGAGGCAUACUAGUGACACACUAUUUGUCUAUGUAUUCACACAUGUAUUAUGUUUCCGGUUAAUACAAUUCUAGCAUGAAUAAUAAACAUUUAUCAUGAUACAAGGAAAUAAAUAAUAACUUUAUUAUUGCCUCUAGGGCAUAUUUCCUUUAGUCUCCCACUUGCACUAGAGUCAAUAAUCUAGAUUACACAGUAAUGAUUCUAACACCCAUGGAGCCUUGGUGUUGAUCAUGUUUUGCUCGUGGAAGAGGCUUAGUCAGCGGGUCUGCAACAUUCAGAUCCAUAUGUAUCUUGCAAAUUUCUAUGUCUCCCACCUGGACUAAAUCCCGAAUGGAAUUGAAGCGUCUCUUGAUGUGCUUGGUUCUCUUGUGAAAUCAGGAUUCCUUUGCCAAGGCAAUUGCACCAGUAUUGUCACAAAAGAUUUUCAUUGGACCCGAUGCACUAGGUAUGACACCUAGAUUGGAUAUGAACUCCUUCAUCCAGACUCCUUCAUUUGUUGCUUCCAAAGCAGCUAUGUACUCCGCUUCACAUGUAGAUCCCGCCACGACGCUUUGUUUAGAACUGCACCAACUGACAGCUCCACCGUUUAAUGUAAACAUGUAUCUGGUUUGCGAUUUAGAAUCGUCCAGAUCAGUGUCAAAGCUUGCAUCAACGUAACCAUUUACGAUGAGCUCUUUGUCACCUCCAUAUAUGAGAAACUUAUCCUUAGUUCUUUUCAGGUACUUCAGGAUGUUCUUGACCGCUGUCCAGUGAUCCACUCCUGGAUUACUUUGGUACCUCCCUGCUAGACUUAUAGCAAGGCACACAUCAGGUCUGGUACACAACAUUGUAUACCUGAUAGAGCCUAUGGCUGAAGCAUAGGGAACAUCUUUCAUUUUCUCUCUAUCUUCUACAGUGGUCGGACAUUGAGUCUUACUCAACUUCAUACCUUGUAACACAGGCAAGAACCCUUUCUUUGCUUGAUCCAUUUUGAACUUCUUCAAAACUUUGUCAAGGUAUGUGCUUUGUGAAAGUCCAAUUAAGCGUCUUGAUCUAUCUCUAUAGAUCUUAAUGCCCAAUAUGUAAGCAGCUUUACCGAGGUCUUUCAUUGAAAAACUCUUAUUCAAGUAUCCCUUUAUGCUAUCCAGAAAUUCUAUAUUAUUUCCAAUCAAUAAUAUGUCAUCCACAUAUAAUAUCAGAAAUGCUACAGAGCUCCCACUCACUUUCUUGUAAAUACAGGCUUCUCCAAAAGUCUGUAUAAAACCAAAUGCUUUGAUCACACUAUCAAAGUGUUUAUUCCAACUCCGAGAGGCUUGCACCAGUCCAUAAAUGGAUCGCUGGAGCUUGCACACUUUGUUAGCUCCCUUUGGAUCGAUAAAGCCUUCUGGUUGCAUCAUAUACAACUCUUCUUCUAGAAAUCCAUUCCGGAAUGCAGUUUUGACAUCCAUUUGCCAAAUUUCAUAAUCAUAAAAUGCGGCAAUUGCUAACAUGAUUCGGACAGACUUAAGCAUCGCUACGGGUGAGAAGGUCUCAUCGUAGUCAAUCCCUUGAACUUGUCGAAAACCUUUCGCAACAAGUCGGGCUUUGUAGACAGUAACAUUACCGUUAGCGUCAGUUUUCUUCUUGAAGAUCCAUUUAUUCUCAAUUGCUUGCCGAUCAACGGGCAAGUCAACCAAAGUCCACACUUUGUUCUCAUACAUGGAUCCCAUCUCAGAUUUCAUGGCUUCUAGCCAUUUUGUGGAAUCUGGGCUCACCAUCGCUUCUUCAAAGUUCGUAGGUUCAUCAUGAUCUAGUAGCAUGACUUCCAGAACAGGAUUACCAUACCACUCUGGUACGGAUCUUACUCUGGUUGAUCUACGAGGUUCGGUAGUAACUUGAUCUGAAGUUACAUGAUCAUUAUCAUUAACUUCCUCACUAAUUGGUGUAGGUGUCAGAGAAACCGGUUUCUGUGAUGUACUACUUUCCAAUAAGGGAGCAGGUAUAGUUACCUCAUCAAGUUCUACUUUUCUCCCACUCACUUCUUUCGAGAGAAACUCCUUCUCUAGAAAAACUCUGAAUUUAGCAACAAAAGUUUUGCCUUCGGAUCUGUGAUAGAAGGUGUACCCAACAGUCUCCUUUGGGUAUCCUAUGAAGACACAUUUCUCCGAUUUGGGUUCGAGCUUAUCAGGUUGAAGCUUUCUCACAUAAGCAUCGCAGCCCCAAACUUUCAGAAACGACAACUUUGGUUUCUUGCCAAACCACAGUUCAUAAGGCAUCGUCUCAACGGAUUUCGAUGGUGUCCUAUUUAACGUGAAUGCAGCCGUCUCUAAAGCAUAACCCCAAAACGAUAGCGGUAAAUCAGUAAGAGACAUCAUAAAUCGCACCAUAUCUAAUAAAGUACGAUUAUGACGUUCGGACACACCAUUACGCUAUGGUGUUCCGGGUGGCGUGAGUUGCGAAACUAUUCUGCAUUGUUUCAAAUGUAGACCAAACUCGUAACUCAAAUAUUCUCCUUCUACGAUCAUAUCAUAGGAACUUUUAUUUUUGUUACGAUGAUUCUCCACUUCACUCUGAAAUUCUUUGAACUUUUCAAAUGUUUCAGACUUGUAUUUCAUCAAGUAGAUAUACUCAUAUCUGCUCAAAUCAUGUGUGAAGUUUAGAAAAUAAUGAUACCUGCCGGGAGCCUCAAUAUUCAUCGGACCACAUACAUCAGUAUGUAUGAUUUCCAACAAAUUUGUUGCUCACUCCAUUGUUUCGGAGAACGGAGUCUUAGUCAUCUUGCCCAUGAGGCAUGGUUCGCAAGCAUCAACUGAUUCAUAAUCAAGUGAUUCCAAAAGCCCAUCAGCAUGGAUUUUCUUCAUGCGCUUUACACCAAUAUGACCUAAAUGGCAGUGCCACAAAUAAGUUGCACUAUCAUUAUAAAUUUUGCAUCUUUUGGCUUCAAUAUUAUGAAAAUGUGUAUCACCAUGAUCGGGAUCCAACAAACCAUUUUCAUUGGGUCUAUAACCAUAGAAGGUUUUAUUCAUGUAAACAAAACAACAAUUAUUCUCUAACUUACAUGAAUAACCGUAUUGCAAUAAACAUGAUCCAAUCAUAUUCAUGCUCAACGCAAACACUAAAUAACAUUUAUUUUAGGUUUAACACUAAUCCCAAAAGUAUAGGGAGUGUGCGAUGAUGAUCAAAUCAAUCUUGGAACCAUUUCCAAUACACAUCGUCACUUCACCCUUAACUAGUCUCUCUUCAUUCUGCAACUCCCGUUUUGAGUUACUAUUCUUAGCAACUGAACUAGUAUCAAAUACUGAGGGGUUGCUAUAAACACUAGUAAAGUACACAUCAAUAACAUGUAUAUCAAAUAUACCUAUGUUCACUUUGCCAUCCUCCUUAUCCGCCAAUUACUUGGGGUAGUUCCGCUUCCAGUGACCAGUCCCUUUGUAGUAGAAGCACUCAGUUUUAGGCUUAGGUCCAUACUUGGGUUUUUUCACUUGAGCAGCAACUUGCUUGCCGUUCUUCUUGAAGUUCCCCUUUCUUCCCUUUGUCCCUUUACUUGAAACUAGUGGUUUUGUUUACCAUCAACACUUGAUGCUUUUCUUGAUUUCUACCUUCAUCGAUUUCAGCAUCACGAAGAGCUUGGGAAUCGUUUCCAUUAUCCCUUGCAUAUUAUAGUUCAUCACGAAGUUCUACUAACUUGGUGAUGGUGACUAGAGAAUUCUGUCAAUCACUAUUUUAUCUGGAAGAUUAACUCCCACUUGAUUCAAGCAAUUGUAGUACCCAGACAAUCAGAGCACAUGCUCACUGCUUGAGCUAUUCUCCUCCAUCUUUUAGCUAUAGAACUUGUUGGAGACUUCAUAUCUCUCAACUCGGGUAUUUGCUUGAAAUAUUAACUUCAACUCCUGGAACAUCUCAUAUGGUCCAUGACGUUCAAAACGUCUUUGAAGUCCCGAUUCUAAGCCGUUUAAGCAUGGUGCAGUAAACUAUUAAUUAGUCAUCAUAUUGAGCUAGCCAGACAUUCAUAACAUCUGCAUCUGCUCCUGCAAUAGGUUUGUCACCUAGUGGUGCAUCAAGGACAUAAUUCUUCUGUGCAGCAAUGAGGAUAAUCCUCAGAUCACGGAUCCAAUCCGCAUCAUUACUACUAACAUUUUUCAACAUAAUUUUUCUCUAGGAACACAAUAAACUGGGAGCAACAUCGUGAGCUAUUGAUCUACAACAUAGAUAUGCUAAUACUACCAGGACUAAGUUCAUGAUAAAUUAAAGUUCAAUUAAUCAUAUUACUUAAGAACUCCCACUUAGACAGACAUCCCUCUAAUCUUCUAAGUGAUCACGUGAUCCAUGUCAACUAAACCAUGUUCGAUCAUCACGUGAGAUGGAGUAGUUUCAAUGGUGAACAUCACUAUGUUGAUCAUAUCUACUAUAUGAUUCACGCUCGACCUUUCGGUCUCCGUGUUCCGAGGCCAUAUCUGUUAUAUGCUAGGCUUGUCAAGUUUAACCUGAGUAUUCCGCGUGUGCAACUGUUUUGCACCCGUUGUAUUACAACGUAGAGCCUAUCACACCCGAUCAUCACGUGGUGUCUCAGCAUGAAGAACUUUCGCAACGGUGCAUACUCAGGGAGAACACUUGUACCUUGAUAAUUAGUGAGAGAUCAUCUUAUAAAGCUACCGUCGAACUAAGCAAAAUAAGAUGUAUAAAAGAUAAACAUCACAUGCAAUCGAAAUAUGUGACAUGAUAUGGCCACAAUCAUCUUGUGCCUUUGAUCUCCAUCUCCAAAGUAUCGUCAUGAUCUCCAUCGUCACCGGCAUGACACCAUGAUCUCCAUCAUCUUGAUCUAUAUCAAUGUGUCAUCACAUGGUUAUCUCGCCAACAAUUGCUCUUGCAACUAUUGCUAUCGCAUAGCGAUAAAGUAAAGCAAUUAUUUGGUGCUUGCAUCUUAUGCAAUAGAGAGAUAACCAUAAGGCUUUUGCCUGUUGCCGAUAACUUCAACAAAACAUGAUCAUCUCAUACAACAACUUAUAUCUCAUCAUGUUUUAACCAUAUCACAUCACAACAUGCCCUGCAAAAACAAGUUAGACGUCCUCUACUUUGUAGUUGCAAGUUUUACGUGGCUGCUAUGGGCUGAGCAAGAACUGUUCUUACCUACACAUCAAAACCACAACGAUAGUUUGUCAAGUUGGUGCUGUUUUAAACUUCGCAAGGACCGGGCAUAGCCACACCUAGUUCAACUAAAGUUAGAGAAACUGACACCCGCCAGCCACCUGUGUGCAAAGCACGUCGGUAGAACCAGUCUCGCGUAAGCGUACGCGUAAUGUGGUUCGGGCCGCUUCAUCCAACAAUACCGCCGAACCAAAGUGUCACAUGCUGGUAAGCAGUAUGACUUAUAUCGCCUACAACUCACUUGUGUUCUACUCAUGCAUAUGACAUCUACGCAUAAAACCUGGCUCGGAUGCCACUAUUGGGGAACGUAGUAAUUUCAAAAUAAUUCCUACGCACACGCAAGAUCAUGGUGAUGCAUAGCAACAAGAGGGGAGAGUGUUGUCUACGUACCCUCAUAGACCGGCAACGGAAGCGUUGACACAACAUAGAGGAAGUAGUUGUACCUCUUCCCGAUCCGACCGAUCCAAGUACCGAACGUACGUCACCUCCAAGUUCUGUGCAAGUUCAACUCGGUGACGUCCCUCGAGCUCCGAUCCAGCAAAGUGUUGAGGGAGAGUUUCGUCAGCACGACGGCGUGAUGACGGUGAUGAUGUUCUACCGACGCAAGGCUUCGCCUAAGCACCGCUACGAUAUGACCGAAGUGGAAUAUGGUGGAAGGGGGCACCGCACACGGCUAAGGAACAAUCACAAAGAUCAACUUGUGUGUCAUGGGGUGCCCCCUUGCCCCCGUAUAUAAAGAAGGGAGAGGAGGAGGUGCGGCCGGCCCAAGGGGUGCGCCUGGAGGAGUCCUACCCCCACCGGGAGUAGGACUCCCCCCUCUUGCCUUGUUGGAAAAGGAGGGGGGAAGGGAGAAAGAGGAAAGGGGGGCCGCCCCCCCCCCCCCCCUUCCUUGUCCUAUUCGGACUAGGGGGGAGGGGGCGCGCGGCCCGCCCUGGCCGGCCCUCCUCUUCUCCCUUAGGGCCCAUGUAGGCCCAAUAACCCCCCGGGGGGGUUCCGGUAACCCCCCGUUACUCCGGUUAAAUCCCGAUUUCACCCGGAACGUUUCCGAUAUCCAAAUAUAGGCUUCCAAUAUAUCAAUAUUUAUGUCUUGACCAUUUCGAGACACCUCGUCAUGUUUGUGAUCACAUCCGGGACACCGAACAACCUUUUGUACAUAAAAACACAAAAACCCUAAUUAUGAUCGUCACCGAACUUUAAGCGUGCGGACCCUACGGGUUCGAGAACUAUGUAGACAUGACCGAGACAUGUCUCCGGUCAAUAACCAACAGCGGAACCUGGAUGCUCAUAUUGGCUCCUACAUAUUCUACAUAUAUCUUUAUCGGCCAGACCGCAUAACAAUAUACGUUGUUCCUUUUGUCAUCGGUAUGUUACUUGCCCGAGAUUCGAUCGUCGGUAUCUCAAUACCUAGUUCAAUCUCGUUACCGGCAAGUCUCUUUACUCGUUCCGUAAUACAUCAUCCCGCAACUAACUUAUUAGUUGCAAUGCUUGGAAGGCUUGAGUGAUGUGCAUUACCGAGAGGGCCCAGAGAUACCUCUCCAACAAUCGGAGUGACAAAUCCUAAUCUCGAAAUACGCCAACCCAACAAAUACCUUCGGAGACACCUGUAGAGCACCUUUAUAAUCACCCAGUUACGUUGUGAUUAUUGGUAGCACACAAAGUGUUCCUCCGGUAAACGGGAGUUGUAUAAUCUCAUAGUCAUAGGAACAUAUAUAAGUUAUGAAGAAAGUAAUAGCAACAAACUAAACGAUCAAGUGCUAAGCUAAUGGAAUGGGUCAAGUCAAUCAUAUCAUUCUCCUAAUGAUGUGAUCCCGUUAACCAAAUAACAACUCAUGUCUAUGGUUAGGAAACAUAACCAUCUUUGAUCAACGAACUAGUCAAGUAGAGGCAUACUAGUGACACUCUGUUUGUCUAUGUAUUCACACAUGUAUUAUGUUUCCGGUUAAUACAAUUCUAGCAUGAAUAAUAAACAUUUAUCUACAAGGAAACAAAUAAUAACUUUAUUAUUGCCUCUAGGGCAUAUUUCCUUCAAACAUCACUAUGUUGAUCAUAUCUACUAUAUGAUUCAUGCUCGACCUUUCGGUCUCCGUGUUCCGAGGUCAUAUCUGUUAUAUGCUAGGCACGUCAAGUUUAACCUGAGUAUUCCGUGUGUGCAACUGUUUUGCACAUGUUGUAUUUGAACGUAGAGCCUAUCACACCCGAUCAUCACAUGGUGUCUAAGCACGAAGAACUUUCGCAACGGUGCAUACUCAGGGAGAACACUUGUACCUUGAUAAUUAGUGAGAGAUCAUCUUAUAAAGCUACCGUGGAACUAAGCAAAAUAAGAUGUAUAAAAGAUAAACAUCACAGGCAAUCAAAAUAUGUGACAUGAUAUGGCCAUCAUCAUCUUGUGCCUUUGAUCUCCAUCUCCAGAGUAUCGUCAUGAUCUCCAUCGUCACCGGCAUGACACCAUGAUCUCCAUCAUCUUGAUCUAUAUCAAUGUGUUGUCACAUGGUUGUCUCGCCAACAAUUGCUCUUGCAACUAUCGCUAUCGCAUAGCGAUAAAGUAAAGCAAUUAUUUGGUGCUUGCAUCUUAUGCAAUAGAGAGAUAACCAUAAGGCUUUUGCCAGUUGCCGAUAACUUCAACAAAACAUGAUCAUCUCAUACAACAACUUAUAUCUCAUCAUGUCUUGACCAUAUCACGUCACAACAUGCCCUGCAAAAACAAGUUAGACGUCCUCUACUUUGUUGUUGCAAGUUUUAUGUGGCUGCUACGGGCUGAGAAAGAAUCGUUCUUACCUACGCAUCAAAACCACAACGAUAGUUUGUCAAGUUGGUGUUGUUUUAACCUUCGCAAGGACCGGGCGUAGCCACACUCAGUUCAACUAAAGUUGGAGAAACUGACACCCGCCAGCCACCUGUGUGCAAAGCACAUCGGUAGAACCAGUCUAGCGUAAGCGUACGCGUAAUGUCAGUCCGGGCCACUUCAUCCAAUAAUCCGCCGAACCAGUGUGACAUGCUGGUAAGCAGUAUGAGUUAUAUCGCCCACAACUCACUUGUGUUCUACUCGUGCAUAUUAAAUCAAUGCAUAAAACCUAGGCUCGGAUGCCACUGUUGGGGAACGUAGUAAUUUCAAAAAUUUCCUACGCACACGCAAGAUCAUGGUGAUGCAUAGCAACGCGAGGGGACAGUGUUGUCCAUGUACCCUCGUAGACCGAAAGCGAAAGCGUUAGCACAACGUGGUUGAUGUAGUCGUACGUCUUCAUGAUCCGACCGAUCCAAGUACCGAACGCACGACACCUCUGAGUUCAGCACACGUUCAGCUCGAUGACGUCCCGCAAACUCCGAUCCAGCAGAGCUUCACGGGAGAGUUCCGUUAGCACGAUGGCAUGAUGACGGUGAUGAUGUUGCUACCGACGCAGGGCUUCGCCUAAGCACCGCUACGAUAUGACCGAGGUGGAAUAUGGUGGAGGGGGGCACCACACACGGCUAAGAGACGAUCAACUUGAUCAACUUGUGUGUCUAGAGGUGCCCCCUGACCCCGUAUAAAAAGGAGCAAGGGGGGAGGCCGGCCGGCCCUCUAUGGGCGCGCCAGGAGGAGGAGUCCUCCUCCUAGUAGGAGUAGGACUCCUCUUUCCUACUCCUACUAGGAGGAGGAAAGGAAGGAGGAGAAGGAGAAGGAAGGAGAGGGAGGAAAAGGAGGAAAGGGGGGCCGGCCCCCUAGUCCAAUUUGGUUUGGCCUCGGGGGGGGCGCGCCCUGCCUCCUCUCUUCCACCACUUGGCCCAUGAGGCCCAUUACUUCUUCCUCGUAUUCCCAUAACUCCCCGGUACCCCCGAAAAUACCCGAAUCACUCGGAACCUUUCCGAUGUCCGAAUAUAGUCGUCCAAUAUAUCGAUAUUUAUGUCUCGACCAUUUCCAGACUCCUCGUCAUGUCCCCGAUCUCAUCUGGGACUCCAAACUCCUUCGGUACAUCAAAUCACAUAAACUCAUAAUACAAUCGUCACCGAAACUUUAAGCGUGCGGACCCUACAGGUUCGAGAACUAUGUAGACAUGACCAAGACACGUCUCCGGCCAAUAACCAAAUAGCGGAACCUAGAUGCUCAUAUUGGCUCCCACAUAUUCUACGAAGAUCUUUAUCGGUCAAACCGCAUAACAACAUAUGUUGUUCCUUUUAUCAUCGGUAUGUUACUUGCCCGAGAUUCGAUCGUCGGUAUCUCAAUACCUAGUUCAAUCUCGUUACCGGCAAGUCUCUUUACUCUUUCCAUAAUACAUCAUCCCGCAAAUAACUCAUUAGUUGCAAUGCUUGCAAGGCCUUAAGUGAUGUGCAUUACCAAGAGGGCCCAAAGAUACCUCUCCGACAAUCGAAGUGACAAAUCCUAAUCUCGAAAUACGCCAACCCAACAAGUACCUUUGGAGACACCUAUAGAGCACCUUUAUAAUCACCCAGUUACGUUAUGACGUUUGGUAGCACACAAAGUGUUCCUCCGGUAAACGGGAGUUGCAUAAUCUCAUAGUCAUAGGAACAUGUAUAAGUCAUGAAGAAAGCAAUGGCAACAAACUAAAUGAUCAAGUGCUAUGCUAACGGAAUGGUUCAAGUCAAUCACAUCAUUCUCCUAAUGAUGUGAUCCCGUUAAUCAAAUGACAACUCAUGUCUAUGGUUAGGAAACAUGACCAUCUUUGAUCAACGAGCUAGUCAAGUAGAGGCAUACUAGUGACACUCUGUUUGUCUAUGUAUUCACACAUGUAUUAUGUUUCCGGUUAAUACAAUUCUAGCAUGAAUAAUAAACAUUUAUCAUGAUAUAAGGAAAUAAAUAAUAACUUUAUUAUUGCCUCUAGGGCAUAUUUCCUUCACAUAUGGCACAUGAUCCGGACGACAAUGACAACGACGAUGAUACAUUUACCAACGUCGAUAAGUACUUUGCCGAACAUGGGUACGGUGACAAAUUCUUCGGGCCUCCAUCUCAAGAACCCAACCCUGAAAAAGACGACCGCGAUCAUGCUGGUACCACGGAGAAACCAAAUUACAACAGGCGUCGUCUGGCAUUCAGUUCUCAGGAGAUGCCUCCAGCUGCCGCCUUCACCAAGCCUUAGACAGCCGAGGUGCCAAAUAUUAUCAGCCCGAAGACAGUCAAGAAGGCGGUCUGUGAGCAGAACUCGAUCCCAUUACAGCAGAAGAAGGGACAGAAAAGAAAGAGUAACAAGGGUGCCAGCCAGCCGGCACCGAGUACGAUCCGUGCUCAGGACGGUCCACCUUCACCUAAGGAUAUCUCGAGGAGGGUGCAUGUGGCGGGUAGGCCGAUGCUACCGACUAAUCUUCUCAAUGCUGCAACCGGUGCUAUGCGCAGUCUGCAUGACAGUGUUCUUUCUUUGGAGAAGCGGCGUCUCUCCGAGAAUGAUGUGGCACACCCGGUUUUUGUGGCCAAGGUGCCACAGGGCAAGGGCUUUGUGGAUAACGCCAUCGGGGGUAUGAUCGUCCUGCGGUUUGAUGACAUCUUCGCUAUGUUUAACCUUCAUCCGCUGCACUACACCUUCAUUCAGCUAUUUUCGCUGAGUAUGGAGAUGCGGAUCAUUAGAGACAAGACCCCGGACAUCGUGAUAGUCGACCCCUUCUACAUGUGUGUCAAGAUCUUGGGCAGCGCUGGGGACUGGCAAGUCGCGAGUUCUUACCUCGAAGGCAUCAUUCUGGCAAACCCAGAUAAGGUAACUUCCUCGUGCCUUACUUUCCCGAGUAAGUCAUCCCCUCACCGCCCCGUAAUAUAUGAUUUCUUAGAUUUCGAUCGUUCUUUUUUCUCUAACAUUCCAUGUUUUGUGCAGUGACACACAUUGCACACUCAUCCUCUUAAGCCCGGAAUAUUCCAUGGCCACGUAUUUCGACUCGGACCGUCAGACGAAGAAUGACUACACCAAUAUCAAGAAAGUUCUCGAUGAUGUUCUCCCCGGCUACGCCAGAUCUGGUGGCACCUUCACCAGGCCAGUUCGUAGGUACGGCAAGCACGUGUUCGCCCACACUACGAUGUUCCCCUGCGUCAAGCAGCCACCUGGCGGUCAUAAGGAUGCCUACUACGCCCUCUAUCACAUGCGGGCGAUCGUACGGGACCAUAAUCACCUUCUGCUACCAAAUAAUCUCAAAGAUUGGGCCGCAAGAUUGUCGGCAAUCCAGGACGCGGACAUCAGACAAGAAUUCUUUUGCAUCCAGUCGGAGUUUGCAGAAAUCAUCCAUCAAGAUGUCCUUCGUACCUCGGGGCAGUUCUACCUCAGAUAUCAACCGUCCAACAGUGAGAUAGACACAACUCUACAAAUGCAGGCUGACAACGCCCGCGAUUUCAUGACCAUCACGAGAGACGGCGGCUUCAUCCACGCUCCGGUCCCUGAGUCGAGUCGAAAGUAGUGAUGCUAUGUGUAGUUCUGAAACAUCGAUUGGCUCAUGUUGUAAUUAAACUUUAAUGAACUUGUAUGUCUCUUUGGUUUGGACAGUCGUUCAACUUAGAUGUAAUCGAUGCUAUUUAUUAGUAGGACCAUGAAUUGUGCUAUUAAUGUGUUUCUUUUCUCUUCCGAUCCUUUUGUUGCAUACUUAUAUAUUGCUUAUGUAUUGUCUGUGAAUUGCUACUAACGUUUUGUUUGGCUAGUGCAUAGAGAUGCCGUCGUAUGUCGUGUACAAGGGUAAGGUUCUCGGAGUCUACGACGACUGGGAGGAGUGUCGGAGACAGGUUCAUCGUUUCAGCGGUAACAGUUACAAAGGGUACACCACUAGGGCGGAGGCGGAAGUUAGAUACGCGCGCUAUCUAGCGGGAGAGAGGAGGGAGCGGAGGAUGAAGCGGAUGAAGACCAAUUUCAUCGCGAUGAUGCUCAUCAUGAUGACCGCAUCUCUCUUCUAUGUGAUGGUAGUUUAGAUGAUCGAUAUCUAUUUGUAAUGUGAAGACAAACUCGCCACUCGCGGUUUUGAGACUUGUAAUGUUCUAACUUUGUUCAGUAUUUUAAAUUCGGAGACUAAUAUGAUGAAUUGUAUUCGGAGACUAAUCUUCUAUUGCAUUCGAUAAAUCUGCUGGUUAUAUGUUGUGCUCUCUAUAUUCUGUCCAAUAAUAUAUUUUUGUAACCUGUGAAAAUAUCAGAAAAGAAAAAAAAUCCCUAAUAUUCAUACUAGUGGCGCACCACUCAGAACACUAAUGGCACACUGCAAAAAGGACUCUAAUGGCGCAUCAUGCACUAGUGCGCCAUUAGUAUACCAAAGCACAUGGGUAAAUAUGGCCCCCUGCGAGGCAUACUAAUGGCACACCGUGGGCUAUACUAAUGGCGCAGUGCAUGGUGCGCCAUUAGUAUACCAGAUACUAAUGGCGCACCAGUGGUGCGCAAUUAGUAAAAAAUUCUAAUGGCGUGGUGCUAGUGGCGCACCUGUAGUGCGCCAUUAGUAGGCAAAACAGGUGCGCCACUAGUAGGCCUUUUCCUAGUAGUGAGCCAUUCAGGCCGCUGCUAUGGAGGCCAUCCUACACCUCCGAAUCAAGUUCCCGCAUGUGGCAACGAGGCGGGAGUUCUGCUUUUUCCCCAUUGUGGCAGAAGCCGGAAUGCAGCCUUCUCCCGCUAUCCAAGGAGAUGACCCCGCAAUCGCUCACCUGGUGUAGUAUAUCACUGCCCAGGGGAUGAUGAUUUCUAAGAUGUGCUUGCCGAAUUUAGAACCCUGGACAACGAUGCGGUACGAGUUGUCAAGGAAGGUUAUCGUGAGGCUCGUAAAUUCGCAUCUCAAGCCGUUCAUCCCAUGCCAUCCGAACCAGUGCUACCCUCUCAACCUGUGUUAUGGCCCAGGCCAAACAUCAUCACCCUCGACAAGGUUGUUUUCCAAAUCCACCAGCAGCAUUUGCUUGGAUCGAUUUUAGCCACACCUCCAGUAGUCGAACCCCAACCCAUAGUGCUGUCAGAUGAUGAAGAUGGAGAUUGGCUUAGUCUUCGUCCUCCCGGAGAGCCCCAGCAAGGCCAGUCCUCUGCAUGACCUCAGUCGCACAGUGAGAUGAAUCGGCGAGUAGGUCAGUCAGUCUGUUCAUCCUCGAUAGGAGGAUAGAACUAUGUAUCCCUGAGUGAGUAGUUUCAUUUAGUGCGUAGAGCGUUCGUGCUUCGUUGUAUGCUUGCACUGUUGUAAUCCGUAUGAUGUGUUCUAUGUUUGUUUUCGUGCUUGUUUUUGUUUGUCUAUGUGUCAAGCAGAGAUGUUUGACAGGGUUGGCAAUGUGUGCUAACAAGAUUUUAAUUAGUACGACGCAUACACUAAAAACAACAUUGACUCGUCCCGAGUCUCUAAUAAAAUGCGCGCUGGUGUAGGUAUAUGUAUGCCAGGAUUACAUAUACCCACUAGCAUUAAAACACCUUAGAAUGAUUUGUCUGGUGUUUUUUUCUGUUGCAUGUUUGUUGCAUCUGUCUAUUUGCUAGUUUAGAUUAUACUACAUACUGCACGCAUAACCAAUUCACCCACGAGUAUGUUCGGGCAGUACUCGGGGGAAUGCAAAGUCACAUAUCCCUCUCUAUCUGUGCAUACCCCGUGUGCCGGAUUUCAAAACCCAGAGCUUCGCAGAGGCAUUUCCGUCUGGUAGUUCCUCGUCUCCAAUUUUUUCCCCAAUUUCAUUUCCAGAGGAUCACUGCCAAUUUUAUUUCAUUUGAUACAUCUACCACAAUAUAGACUUCAACUCCGAUUCUACCUCUACAUCUACUUUUUUGUGGAGCAAUCCGCGAAAUUUUCCCGUACCCUAGCGUGAUUCCUGAGCUGGCGCAGCCACCUCACCUGCAUCUCGACCCCACCACCACCACCGUCACUGCAUUACGUGGCGUAGACGAGUCGCCAUCACCGUUCCACCGCAGCACGCAAUUACUCUGCCGACGCAAAGCGAUGGAGGAUCAAGCGUGGCGGAGGAUCACGCAGUGCACCGUCUUCUCCCGCAUCUCGAGCCACCACACCUAGCCGCACAUUGUCCCGAAACCGAUCAUUCCUGAUGAGGAUCAGCAGGAGAAACCAUUGUUCAUUGGGGUGCAUCCAGCAUUUUUUUUGGGAGUCUGAUCUCGAGUGCCCCUAGCCGUGGAUUUAACCCUGUUUUGCCCUUAUCUUCCUCGGGUGCACCAAUUAUCGGUGCCCCAACUCGUUCGAAUCUGACCAAAGGGUUAAAAUUAACCUAGAGGUUUUCCCCAAAGUUGUUAUCCUUUCAUUUGUGCUGUAAUCCUAGGAAUCUCGAGGACGAGAUUCUUUUUAAGGGGGGAAGGUUUGUAAUAGCCCCAAAAUUGGCUUAUCAAUUUUUGAGCUAUUAUUUCUUCCUGACACUCAUUUUUUUAAAUCUUUCUCCUGAGUUUAUUAGAUGACUCUGAGAAUUCCUGACAUUUCCAAACUUUCAAAACCUUGCUCAUGUCUUUGUCAGUGGGCAAGACCUCUUUUGCAUCAUCUCAGAUCCUCUCAAACCCUAAUUCCAAUUUUUUGGAAUUUGAAUGUGGCCUUUGUGAUUACAAAGGAGCUAUCAUUUUCCUUGAUCUGUUGAUCAUCCCCUCUGUUCCCAGAGACCCUUCUACCUUCCUGAACCCUGGAUAUGCAAAACUAUUGCUAAGUCCUAUGCAAUAUUUUUGAAUUAUGAUUUAUUCCUUUUCUUGCCUUUCCGAGGAAUAAAAUCCAAAGGCAUAGCUAGCCAUCUCCUAAAUUCAUGAGAAUUGGUGGAGUUGAUAUUUAUGCCUAAUCUAAGCCCUGGCAAACAUAUUGGCCAUAAUUAAAUAAGGAAAAUUGACUUUCCUAUUUUAAUCCAAUAUUGCAUUUCUGUCAUUUUCCAAAGGAGCUACUAUUUUUAUAGCAGAGAAAAUUCCCACAUAAAUUGUGGAGCUUUUCCUUGCUAUAUAAUCACUGUUUCCAUCCUUAUCCCAUGUUCCUCAAAUCAAAAAUUGGGCACAUGAUCCAAUGCAAGUUUCUGCCCUCUUUGAAAUUUUUGCAAAGGAAGUGCUUUAUUACUAAUUCAAAUUGAGCUACAAUUUGCAGGAUGACUAACCAUGAUAAAUCACCAAUGGAUACAAAAUAUGAGCUCAAUCCAUUCAUCCUAGCUCCCUGUGCAAUUUUUCAAAGUUUCUGACCAGAUGGCAUGCUUGUGAACGAAGUACCUUCAUAGAGUUUCCAAAUGGGAUGAAACAUUUCCAUCCUCUCACGUAUCUCAAAUCAUUAGCCUCCACCUAAAUUCAGUCCAUUCCAUUGAACUAGGCGAGCACAGGAGCAAUUCUUUGAAUCUGUCCAAAUUUUUAGUUUGUGAAGCAAGUAUAUUUUAUCUUGAUCCAUUAUGCCUGAAAAUAUUCGUAAGCCUUCCCCUAUCCAUAUAACCUAUCUCCAACAAAUUUUGGCUCAUUUCAUGUAGCCAAUAUUGUCCUGGAUUUUCCAAAGUUUCUGGUCAGAUGUGAUGCUUGUGAACUAAGUACCAAUUUGGCAAGUCCAUUUGGUAUGAUCUUUUUGAAGCAACUAAACAUGAUCAAAUCAUGGGGAUUUGCCAAGUUUUAGAUAAAUCCGACACUCCUAGUGAGUGCUUCUUCCUCAUUUGUUUUCUGGACCAGAUUUGGCAGUUGCACUGCAACUAUGCUAAAUACUUGUCCAAAUGCCCUCAUAAUUCCCAGGACCGUAGUUCUUCCUACCCUAAACCUCCCAGACAUCAAGUUUAUCCCUUAAGAUCACUAUGUUGAUCACCAACAUGUGGCCAAGUUUGCAACAACAAACUUGUCGAGCUUGGUUCCCUCUGUUCCCUUCACUUCUGCCCGAGCCAUCACCUCUUCUUUAAUGAUCCUUGGAAGGAAUCCAAUGUUGAUAUGGUUUGGCACCAGGUAGACGACCAGAGCACGCGAUGUCGGUGGUGACCACGGGGCUAUGCAGUCCAAAUUGGUAGUCUAGCCACUAUUCUCGUCAGCACCCUUGCUCCGGCCGGUUCUGGUUUGUCCAAUCAUGUCACACAGCUUAGCCUCAUCGUCGCCGUGUGCCUAGAGCUCUUCCCCCCUUCGUUUGCAUCCUCGUUGAGCCGUCGUCGUCGCCGCACAGUUCCUGUCCAUGAGUUGGUCGCCUUCCUCACUCUUUUCCCUUUCCCCUCUCGCCCGCGAUCGUCCCUCGUCUCCGUGACCUCUUGGAACUCGUCCGCGCCCCCCUCAUCGCCUUGUCUCCCCUCCCCGUGACCCUUGGCCGCGUGUGAGCGUCUCCGGCGCUCAGACAUGUAGCUGUGCCGCGUGUCACCUCGCCCCCUCCCUCUCGAGCUCUUCCCGUGGCUAUUUAAGCAUGCCUCGAGCUCUCUCAUAGCUCACAACCCCUCACAAGCCUCUUCCCCGAGCUCUCGAGCCUCUCUGACCCCUCCCCAUCACCAUGGCUGCAGCCUUGGUUCUUCUUCGAUUCCGGCGAUGCCGCGCCCCCUCUCCAUUCCCUCACCACCGCUGCCCUCCCCAGGGUCCGGAGAGUCUUCCGUUGCCUCGCCCACCCAUUUGUACCACCGUAGCACCAAGUUCACCGACGGCCGAAGCCUAGCUCCAUUGCGGACGCUGCUGCGGCCUUCCCAAAGCUCCUCGGUGGUAGCUCUCGCCGCCAUCCGAUCCACCAUCUUCCCCUGAACAUCUGGGUAGGUCGCCCGUCCUCUGUUGUGGCCGGACGCGCCGGCGAUCGCCGUCGGGGUGGCCUCCUCUAUCGGCCUAGAGUGCGCCCGAGCACGGGGUAGAAGAAGGCCAGGACAGGCGGGGCCCUCCCCACGGACCCCACCUGGCAGCCACUCAAGGCUGGCCCCGCUCCGCCACGUCAGAUUAGUGGAGACGUACUCCACAGAGUACGCUUUCCCUUCUCAAAAACGCCUUUCGUCUCUUCUUCAGGUCAGAAUACGUUUUCCUCUCAAGAAAGUGUAUUUCCUUUGUACUUCGGCUCAAAAUACGUUUCUCUCUGCAGAAAACGUAUUCAGCCCAAAGGCGCAUUCAGUUUUUCCUCCAGGGGCCUGUUUGCCGAAAAAAUUUCACCGAUAGGUCCCUGAGCUUCAACCAUGCGUAUCUCGACAACCGUAACUCUGAUUGAGGUGAAACCAACGCUCACGUCUUCGUCUCGUCGAACUCUUUCCGUUGGUAUCAUUUUCAUUAUGUUUUCAAACGGUGAAAAUGAACACUUUGCCCUUGCACGUAAACAGCCCCCUCCAAGAGAGAACUGUUUUCUACAACUCUUUCCGGGAUCGUUUCGUACUACUUCUCAAAGUAUUCGUCGACCCCAAGCAAGCCAAUCUCUUAUCAUGAGCCCCGAACUUGCAUGUUGACUUUGCUUGCACCUCAUGGGUGUGUUUAGUUACAUUAGUUUCUUGUUUGUUCCGUCUGCUGUUAUGUUCAUUCGUGCUAUAUAUUUUUGUUAUCUGUCUUGCAUGCUUAUGCUUUCAUGAAAUAAGUUGAGAUGCUAGUUUACUGUUGUUACGAAUAAUAUCAUGCCUAUGUCUAGUUUAGUUUCAUGUUAGUAGUAUCGAUGUUAUGAUAAUUCUGUUGCACUGGUAAGUUUGCUAGUACUUGGGAUUGCCAUGUUUCGCAUGCUAUCAUUGUUCUUUUGAAAUGCUUGAUGUUUCAUUACUGCAUCGGUAUGUUUCAUGUUAGUUGUUGCAUUCAUGUUAAUAAUGCUUGCAUGCUGAUUGAUGACGAAAAGUUAAUAAUAUGACUUAAUAACAAGCCUCCUCCGUCAUCACUGGGAUAUCAUAGUGCCACCAAAUUGAGCUUUCUCCAGUGCAACCACAUUUACCUCAUGGGGAGGUCCUAGCUGGGUUUAUUGUCAUGCCUCUUGCCGGUGCCUCCCGCGAGGGAAGGUUAUGGGCACGCGCUACCUUGAUCAGCUAGGCGGACAUAACCUUGUGUGCUCGUUUUUGUUUUUAUGGUACCUUGUCCCUGUUUGGGACCGUUUUGCCACGACGGUGGCCGUUGGUGUCUUUGGUAGACACGGGGCCACCCAAGACUGAACCCAAGGGGGUGUUGGUCGGAGUGGCCGGGAGAGUGUCAUGGUAGUAGGUCAGUUUUGUCGGAACGCCGUGGUCCGCAUGUAUGGGAGUGCGAGGCCAGGGUUCUGUGGUGUGGGUAAAGUGCACUACCUCUGCAGAGUGUAUUCAAUCUAUCGAUAGCCGCGUCCUCGAUCAUGGGAAAAAGUUCAUAGCAGGUCACAUUAUUGAAUCUUGGUCGAAAUGGAGGAUAAACAUGCUAAUAACUUGUGUGAUAAUUAAAAUGUGAUAAGUCAUGUGAUGACUUGGACUGUGGGAUAAUCGUGAGAAGUCACGAUGAUGUGUUGAUAUGACCCCGAGACGAGGUCUUAGUAAGUCAUGCGUGUGCUCCAAGGAGCCGUGGCAAAGUAAGUGAUUGUUGCAUAAGGUCAAUACAUCAUGUCUUCACGGAAGGUAACUGGUAGUUUAUUUCCAGCAUAGUUUCGUGAU